UAUUUUUUGUUUUUUUUUUUGUUUUUGAAUAUUUUUGUUAUUUUUCUCUUAACGUCAUUUUAGUGUUUUAUUUUUGUUUUUGUUUUAUAUUUAUUUUAUUUUGCAUAUUUGUUUUUAUUUUUAUCUUCAAAUUUAUUUUGAAUUUAUUUUAUUUUAUUUUAUUCUUUUUAAAGAAAAAAAAAUACUAUGUUUUUUGUUUUGUGCACUAAUAUGUUUUAGGACGAAAGCAACAUGGCAGAAGAACAAGCACCACCUUAUAGGAGGACACUUGGAGAUUAUGUUAUGUACUAAGGACCAAGGCAUUAUUCUAGUAUCGCAAUACCUGCUACCGCUAAGGCCUUGAAAAUAAAUCUCAAUUUUCUCACUCUCAUCAGUACCCAUCAAUUCACAUUAAUGGAACAUGAGGAUCCACAUUCACAUUUGGACACAUUUUAUGAAUUGGUGGGAACAAAGGGUUUUCAAUCAGCUGAUAUUGAAAUUGUUUAUAUGCGCUUGUUUCCUUUUUCAUUGGCAGGAAAGGCAAAAGAUUGACUCAGAUCACUUCCAAAUCAGAGUCUCACUAGCUGGAAGGAUGUAGAGGAAAAAAUUUUGCAAAGAUUUUUUACAAUCUUUCGCUACAUCAAAGCAAAGUCUGGAAUUUUUGUGUUCAAACAAGGAGCAGAUGAAUCAUUCUAUGAGACCUGGGAAAGAUUUAAAAUGAUGCUUAGAAAAUGCCCAAAUCAUGGGUUUGAAGAUAUUGCUUAACUGAGCAUAUUUCUCACCGAUCUCAGAUCUGACACAAAGAUGCUCCUAGAUGCUACAAUUGGCGGCACAAUGAUGGCUCUUGAUGUAGAACAAGUGACAAUGAUUAUUGUUGCAUUGGUGUCAACUGAUUAUCAAGCCCAACAUGAUAGACAAAAUACUCAGAAGGAAGGGUCGUUAGAAGAUGUACUUUUGGCUCAAAAUAAAAUUCUGACACAGCAGAUUGGGCAACUAACCGCACAAAUGGCUAAAUUGCCCCAAUAGUUAUAUGUUGUGCAUUCAUCUCAAAGCCAUAGUCAAUCAAUCAUGUGUGAUUUUUGUGGAGGUGAUCAUCCUAAUGGUCACUGUUCUUAUCUGAACAAUUCACCUGAAGUUGAGAAUCCAUCCGUGCUUGAAAGAAUGAGUAAAGUUGAAGAAGCCCUAACAAAGCUUGUGAUAAUGGAAGAAAAUAGCAUGGCAACGAUCAAGAAUAUACAAUUUGAAUGGGAAAAGUGGUCAAACAAUUUGAAGAAAUACAAAGUGGCCAGUUUUCAGUCGACAACCAAACCAACCCAAAAGAGCAUUGCAAUAAUGUAAUAGCUGAAAAAGAAGAUGAGACUGAGGAGUUAGAGAAAGAAAUGAAAAGAAGUAAGGAAGAAAAAAUUAAAAAUAAGGAGAGAAGUGUUCUUGAAAAAUAUUUAUCAUAUCCUCAUCCUCCUUCAAAAAACUAGAAGGAAAGAAAAUUCUUUGACAAAUUGCUCCCUAGAAAUUAUUUUGCAGGAAAUCUAAAGCAAGAUUCAACAUUUAAGAGAUUUCUGAAGAAUAAGAGCUAUAUUGAAGAGAGAAAUAGAGAGCAGGAGGUUAGAUGCAGUGUCAUGACUCAAAAGGACUUGCUUCAAAAUUCUAAGAACUUAGGAGGUUUUAAUCUUCCCAUGUCUAUAGGUGCUUUAUUUGUGGACAAGGUUGCAUUGUAUUUAGGCGAUUUGAAGGUUCAACCCACCAAGAUGCAGUUGGCAGACAGAUCCUUCAAAGAUCCUUACGGUGUGGUUGAAGAUGUUCUUGUAACGAGGAAUAAUGCAUACAACAUGAUGCAACAAAGAGAGUUGUCCAUCUUGAAAUAAACAGGUGUCAAGCUAGAUGACGUUAAACGAGCGCUUACUGGGAGGCAACCCAGUCCACAUUUUAGUUUUAUGUUGUUUUGUUACCUUUGUUGAUUUUAUUUUUUCAAAAAAAUAAUAAUAAUAAUAAUAAAAAAUAAAAAAUAAAUCCUAUAUGCCUCCUAAUCAUUUUGCAGGUUAUGUAUUUUGACCUGGGACAGGUUCUAUUAUUCAGGGGGCAGAUCCAGCAAAUGAAGCAAGACUAUAGAUAAAGAUGUUAACAAAAAGCUGGAUGAUUUCUUAAGAAGAGAGGAUUGAAAAAAAAUAUGGUUUUAUCUUUCUAAUUCUCUUUUAUUUUCAGUUAUUUGAAUUUUAUUUUCUGUUUAGUUUUUAUUUUAUUUUUUGGUUAUUUUGUUUUCUGUUUAUUUGCUUAUUUGUUAGUUUGUUUAAAUUGCUUAUUUUGCAUUUUGAAUAAAUUUGUUGUUUUGUUAGUUUGUUAGUUUUAGGUCUUGAAAUAUCUUUGUUGAAUAAAUUUCAGUUUUAAUUUCUUUGUUUUCUAGUUUAUUUUUCUCAAAUAAAAAAGAACUAUAAUAUUAAUUUUGAAUUGUGGAAAAAAGAAUUUGUGUUUAAAUAUUAAAUAGUGUGAUGAAUUAGACACAGGUUAUUAAAGAAAAUAUGAUUGAAUCCCUAUUCAAAUAUAAUUGAAAUUGUGAUACAUGAAAAUUUAACGGGAUGAUUGAUUAAGACAGAGAAUGACAAGACAAAAAGGAAUGAAACCAAUUAAACCAAGUGAGUGUGUGAACCUUAAACAGUUUUAAGAGUUUUACUGAUGAAUUGGUUGGUUCUGAUUGUGAAACUUCAAAAAGUUGAAAAUAGGAAAAAUCUAUUCCUAUUGAUUGAAAAACAAAAAGGAAAAAAAAGAAAGAAAAAAAAAGAAAAAAAAAUUGUUGGAAAUCAUAAAAAAGGUAGAAAGAAAAAUGAGGAAAAGUGUGAUCUUGAAAGAAAGCAGUGAUUAGAUAACAUAUAUGUUCUCUAUAAGUGGGAUUAUAGGUAUGUUCUUCUUCUUUAAGAUGUGCAUUUUGUUAUUUGAAAAACCAAUGUUUUUUUGGAAGCCCGGCCUCAUUACAACCCUGGAAAAGACCUCAAGAUUCAUGUUUCUAAUAUGUUUGUGAUUUGAAGAUGAAAUGAAAAGCAACAGCGAAUCUGCGAUUUGUUAUGAUUUAGUGAAAAUAGAGAGAAACACUUACCCGUGAGCACAUGAGAAGAUAUUCCUUGAUGAAUUGUCAUUUAUUUUGUUUUGAUUUGAUCCUGGAAGUUGAUUGUGUCUAUAUUUUUCUAUAUUUGAAUUUGGAAGCAUCAUAAAUUUCUAAUUUGAUAUGUUGUUUAGUGAAUUAAGAUGUUUGAUAUUUAAAUUCAAAUAUAUUCAUUUACUUUGCUUGAGGACAAGCAAUAUUCUAAGUUGGGGAGAGUGAUAAGUGACUAAUUUCAGCAAUAUUUCAUAUUAAAAUAUAGACACUUAUGAGGAUUUAUUGCUAAUUUACAUAUAAAAUAAUCCUUAAUUUAUAAAUUAGUACAUUUUUAUAUUUUUUAUGAUAUUAUUUUGUUAAUUAUAAUAUUCACCAAUACUUAUUUUGUUCCUAGAAAUUGUGAGAAGAACAUAAAGACGUGAGAAAAGCUAAAGUUAAAGUUUCCAUUUUCAGCGUUUAAUGAGAAAACGAUGAAGCUGAAAAGCGAGAUUUGUGUAGAUCAAGGGUAAAGCAAUAUAAAAAAUAUAUUUAUGAAGAUUUGAAAAGAGAAAGAUGUUCAAAGCACAAACAAGUCAUAAGACGCAUAUCUAAACAUUCCUAUUCGAACGUCUAAUACGAAAGAGAACAUGUACAAUGUAAAAAUAGAAAGAUCUAAGUCCAAAGAUGUUCAAGCUUCAACGAACAAAGUUUAUACAUAAGAAGAAAGUAUUUUAAAAGCAAAUACAUGUUAAAGGCACACAGAUUUCACCAAAGCGAAUAUUUAUUAUUCUCGCCGGUUGACCUUCGGGUUGACUGGAUGGGCAAGCUCCGCUUCUAAUCUGUCUCCUCUUGGUGCACUGGAACAACGCUUCGCUGAGAAAGAGGAGGUUCUACUUGUUGAUCACACUCCGAUGAUCAAGUCAGUGAGAGUAUACAAAAUAAUAAUCAGUUUCAGUCUCUAACACUCAAAAACAACAUACCUUUACCUGGGGUCUCAAGCUUCUUUUACAGUUAUUCCUCUAACAGCUUUCACUCACGAGAAUAUAAUCUGCACUGAAAGCAUAAAAUAAUAACACAAAACCACCUGCUCACGUGCACCUUUCAUGUUUGGGUGCUAACAACAUGAAAAUAUUUUGUCCACGAGACCUUUACUCACGGUGCUAACAACAAAAGAGAAUCUCAUGCACCUUUAUUCUCGGGUGCUCUCCACUUAUUUAACAGCUUUAUAUAUUCAUCUAAUAGCUUUAUUCAUAUAUUUAUUUAACUAACAACUUUGUGUAUAUUCACAAUAUUUUAUUCUAACAGCUUAAUAUAUAUCAACAUAUAUAUUUAACUAACAACUUUAUAUUAAUAUACGACCAAACUUAAUAUUUUCUCUAUUUUAAUAUUCUCCAUCGAGUUUACCAACGAAAUUGGGCCGAGCCCAUUACUCGCUUGUGGGCCCAAAACCAAGCUGACCAUACCCAAAUACUUGGACCGAGGCCCCAAGCACACGAGCACUUCAGUACACAAACUCCCCAAGUUCGAGCCAAGCUUGACUAGGCGAAAAGGCUUUCUAGCGCUUUGGCGGCUGACACGAUGAUUUCCCUAAUGGGUAGGUGAGGUGUAGUACACAAAGUGCUUCUGAGGUGACGUCUCACCACACUUAAUCCAGAGCGUACACGUGGCGUCUUCAUCAAUAGUGGGAAAACAUUGCCGUUUGGCAUUCCCUUAUUCGAAUAAGUCCAUGAAACCUCACCCUACUUCACUGUUUCAUUUCUCUAAAACCCUUUUCUCUUCUCUUACCCUUCACGUAACCUUUACUCUUUAGAAAAUCUUGCGCUUUCUGAACUCUCUUACAAAAAAUAUUCCUUUACACUUCUUCUUUCCUUACCACACCAGGUAUUUUCCCUCUACUAUUUCUAUUGUCGAAUUCUCAUUCGUUUUACCGAUUAUGUUGGUCUAAACUGAGAUUUUUCUUUCAUUUCGCAUUCGUUGCUUGAACUGUGCCUGUAUCUGUUUUGUGUUUGUGCUUUUGCUAUAUAUAUAAUUGCGAUGGAUUACCAUACCAUGUAUCCUUGGGCCCCAAAAAACCUUUUAGAUGAAACCUCCUUCUAUACCUCUUGUGAGCGUGUUGUAACCUUAAGAAAAAGUGGUUGUCACUUUGGUAAGGCGCAUGAUAGAUUUGUAAUAAUAUUAGCGCGUAAGGAGGAUGAGCCUGUGUGUUGCGAUGAAUCCUCAGACCCCGAGGGUCCAUUUUGCUUCUUUUACACUAUUGUGUUUAAAAAAGUCCUCCUGCGUCUACCCCUGUCAAUUUUUGAAAAGAAUUAUUAAUCGAGUUCAACGUAGCUCCUGCCCAGCUACAUCCAAAUAGUUGGACAUUCAUUCGUGCCUUUACCAUUCUCUAUUCACAGCUCGACAUUUUUCCGACUGUGGAGGUUUUGCUUUAUUUCUUUAAGGCCAAACAUUCGGGUCGCCAACUAUGGGUAUCCUUAAACGGUGUCCAUGGAAGAGUCUUGCUCACCCUCUUCCAGUCUUCCUACAAAAACUUCAAAGGCAAAUUCCUCAAAAUUCGAGCUAACAAGGCAGAUCCGACCCUUUUGGACGAGUUUCCUUUAUAUUUGACCUCAGAACCCAGAUUCCAGAGCGCUAGGCGCCUGGACGACCUGCCCCCAUCAGAGCAGGAGGUCUGCAAGUUCUUAAUGAACCUAAAGGUCACCUUUGACACUUCCUUCUGAGUAAAGAGUACACUUUCGGUGCUCUGAAGGCUUAUACCGGUACUUCUCAUUCCCUACCUUUAGUGAGACUAACCUUGUUGUUAUUAUUAACCAUUCACUUGUAUUCUUUGCAGAGAGGAUGUUGUCCAAAAUUAGCAAGAGGGAGCUAGAAGAAAUAGCAAAGAGGAUGAGGGCAACUGCCAAGAUGCUCGAUGAAUCUCUCAAACAAAAGAAGGCCCCAAAGAUAGUCGCUUAAACUUCAAUCGAGCAAGACGAGAAGACCACCUCUAGGUUGGUCUUUAAGAGAAAAAGAAUUGCGACUACUCCCCCUGCUAAGCACUUACACUUUGAUGGUUGAACUCCUCAUUCAGGCAUUGUUCACUCCGAAGGCCAUCAAGAUGUAAUAUUGUUCAAGAGUGCGAAGCUGGGAGCUCCGAAGGGAAGAACCUGUGGGAUCCAAGCCUUGAUAUUCCUACAUACUUUGAGAAGGCCUUCUUGCCUAACGAAGAUAGAGAUAAAAUCAUGGCUUUCGACGAAUACCACUAGGUUUGUGAUGCCAUGAAACAAAUUGGGCAAGCUUUCGCCACGGUUUGCUUGGUUGUGACCAAGAUGAAAAGUUGGAGGGUGGCAGAGGACCUGAAGGCCCAAGAUGAGCUCCACAAGAAAAUAAAACGCCUAAAAAAUAAGGUCAAGCUUUCCAACAACUUGCAACAAGAAGUUGAGCGACUUCGAGCCGAGAAAGCUAAAGAGGCAGCAAAAUGAGCCCAAGUGGCUACAUGCCUAGCUGAAGAAAGGUGCAAACUCUCGACAAACUGAAAGAAGAAAUGGCUUGAAAAGAUGAAAACUUCGUGAUGAGGACCUAUAAGAGGGUGCGCCCACUGACUAGCCCAACCUUCCAGGAGGAUGACUCAAAGCAUGACUCAUGAUACAGGGCUAGGUCAGGAUCCAAAUCUAGCCAAUACAACACCUAGCUUUUCUUAGAGGAUCACCAGGAGUAGAGCACAGGCCUUGGGAGCUGAGCAUCAACUAGUAUCUUUAUGUUUAAUCUUAGUAGAAUAGAUUUCCUUUAGCAUAAUAAGGGGGUAUGUUUAUCACUUUAGCUUGAGCAUAGGCUUUUAGGGUAGGAUUUUGACCUAUCUUCUAGAAGAUUAGGCCUUAGAAUGCUAGGGCCGCCCCACCUUUUCCUUCUUAUCCUACCCUUGCUUCAUCUUGUUUAGGGUGUCUUACUCCAUUUAUUUACAAGUUGAAAUAUAUAGAAGAAGGAAAACUCUGCACAAAUUGUGUGAGGCUUGUUACUCUGAGCAUUAAGUCUUAUCUUGAGUGAGUUGAGAGCUCUCAAGUGGCGGCCCUCUACACUCAUCUUGGAGGAAUCCACACUUCAAUUGACGUGUCCACUCUCAUUUCAUCUCCAUAAGCUUUCUUUCCUUUCAUCCUUUCUUCCAUUUUCCAUUACACUUUAAUCUUUGUGUUGGUACUUUUGUUUUUCUACAAUUCAAUUUCGGGUUCCUUCCAUAUCAUGUGUUUCCUUUCAUGUCUUUUACAUUUCGCACCAUACAUCAUGUCACCAUAUAAUGUGUUUUUCCUUUUGCCUUUGGAAGUGAACAUUAACACUUACUUAACCACUUGGUUAAGUUCGUGUCCAGUGGAAAUCUUCCCUAGUUCUCACCAUAUAAUUGUUAAAAAUCUCAUUCAUAAGUAAAGUGUCACCUCUAAAAUGGAACAAUCUAAAAUAAACUCACAUCACUUUGCCAAUACUACAGAGGCAUUCAAGUUGGAUGUUGCCCAAUCCUACCUUGUGGGGUUCGAGGUAGCUAUUGAAAAAGCAGCAGGAAUCCAUCCUGAAAUUGACUAUUCCAAACUCGACCUGGGUAAAACCGUGGUUGAUGGUCAAUUAAGGGACGAAUAGCUUGAACUUUUACAUGUCUGUAAAAUAUUAUCCUUCCUUGCUAUUUGAACAGUUUACCACUUUUAUAUUUAUGGCCUCUGAAUCACUUUAUAACUAUUUUAAAACCUUUGUGAAUGCAUGACAUGCUACUUAACAUGGUAACUUCGACUAGCUUAAAUUACUUAUCAUAUAGCAAACCUUGACUAGCUUAAGUACAACAACUAUUGUUAAUAUACAUGCAGAUAGUUUAACACUUAAGCUAGCUCAUCUCUAUAUCUUGAGUAAUAAAGAUAACAAGAAUCCGACCUAGGCAAACAUAAGCCUGAUGAAUAGUGGAAUUCUCACUUAACAAAGAACUAACCUUUUGAUGAACUAUACACCCAUAGCCACGACAAGCUUAUGCUCAAUCUCAACGUGCAUAGGUGUAUUUCACCAACUUGGCCAGGGGCCACAUGUCGUGAUCUCGCUAAGCUUUGCUUCGUAGAGCACCUACUCGGAUAGUCGCACCCUUCCGAGCUUGGUCGUCUUAUCCUGUGUCAAGAAUGGUUCAUUCCUCUCCCAGGGUGCCUAAACUCGGAUACUCACUCAUAUACCAAGCUAACCCCUAACUACCAAAGGUAUGGACGAAUGAUUCUACUAUGCAUCAUUCAUCCAUUUCACAGAGUGCCUGAACUCGGGUGAUUGCUCGCGCACCGAGUUAGCCCGACUUACCAUGCACUUAAACAAUACUUAUUUGCACAACGCCUAUACUUGGGUGAUCGUUCUUACACUGAGUUAAGUUGUCUUAUCUUGCCUCGAGCCAAACAACUUAGUUAUAACAAAUCAAACUGCAGAGUGCCUGUACUCGGGUGGUCGUACUAACACCGAGUUAGGUCGUCUUACCUGACACUAGAUAACCAAUUUAUACACAGGGCACCUAUACUUGGAUGACUCUAUUCACUCCGGACUAGGACGUCUUACCAUGCCUUAUUGUUUAUCAAUGCAGUGAGCCUACUCGACCAAUUGAGUUACGUCUUACCAUGCCUUAUUGCUUGCCAAUAUAGUGCGCCUACUCGGCUGAUCGAGUUACGUCUUACCGUGCCUUAUUGCUCAUCAAUACAGUGCGCCUACUCGGAUGACUGAGUUACGUCUUACCGUUCCUUAUUAGGGUGUUAACAGACUUGCCUAUGACGUAUAAAUACAUGCAAAAAUACUUUGCCACAAAUACUCGGUUAAUUAAGCUCACAUGGCGUUUAUACUUGGUUAACUUUGUUUGUUCCGAGUUAGGUCCACUUACUAUGUGCUUAACAACAAAUUCAUCUUCAGAGGGCGUCUAUACUCAGAUGACUCUAUUCAUUCUGAGCUACGUUGUCUUACCAUGUGCUAAUUCAACAAAACUAAUGCACCAUCUUCCAAGAAAAAACUUAUCAUUAGAUGACCUCGUUAAAAAAACCCCUUCAAGGGAAAAAGAGAAUCACCUUAAACAUCAUAUUGUUCAAUAAGAAAGAAUUAAAACAAAACAUCUUAAUUGAAGUAAAACUUCAGAUUUUCCGUGUUCCACGUUUGAGGAAUGGCUCCCCCCUCCAGGGUUUCUAGCCUAUACGCUCCAUUUCUGAGCACCUCGACUACGCGAAACCUGCCAGUCCACUUCAGAGAUAACUUGUUUUCUAACUGAUAGGGAUAGGCCUUUCGCAUCACCAAGUCAGCAACCUCCUCUUUACAACCUCCGAGUUAAUACGGGCAUGCUCGCGCACCUCGUCUAUCAAGUCCAAAUUCACCUUCCUUCUUUUGUUGGAUUUCUCCACAACAAAACUUUGGUACCGAGGGGAGUUCUCCUGGAUUUCCACUGGUAUCAUGGCAUUUGACCCAUAUACCAAACUGAAGGGCGUCUCUUUGGUUGUUGACUGAGGGGUGGUGUGAUAGGCCCACAAAAUUCUGGGAACUUCCUCUGACCAAGUUUCUUUUGCCUUCUCGAACCUCCUUUUCAACCCUCUCAACAAGACUUUGUUAGCUUAUUCAACUUGACCAUUCGUUUGAGGGUGUUCUAUCGAGGCAAAGAUCUUCUUUAUCUCUAGCUCCGAGCAUAGCUUACCCAACUGUUGACUAGCAAAUUGGGUUCCAUUGUCGGACACUAGGUGCCUCGGGAUCCCAAAACGACACACAAUGUUCUUCCACACAAAAUGUUGCACCUUGUGGGUAGUUAUUUGUGCAACUGGCUCAACUUUGACCCACUUGGUGAAGUACUCGAUCGCCACAAUAAGGUAUUUCAUCUAACGUAUCGCCAAAGAGAAAAGACUCAAGAUGUCUAUUCCCUAAGUAUGGAAAGGUCAUGGGCUAUAAAUCGAUCGCCACUCCUCGGUUGGUGCGUGAUGUCAAUCAGCAUGCUUCUGACACUACUCAUAGUGUUGUGCAUACUUCACACAAUCCUCCUUCAUGGUUGGCCAAUAAUACCUAGCUCGGAUGACUUUCAACGAGAGAGCUCGUCCUCUUAUGUGGCUACUAAAAAUGCCCUCAUGGAGCUCGGUCAUGAUGCGGGUACACUGAUCUCCACUCACACAAGUGAGGAUUGAGUGUGUAUAGUCGUGACGAAAAAGUUUGCCAUUUGUCAGGGUAUACUUCCUCACAUUCCAAUUAACUUUCUUAGCCUCUACAGGCUCGGCAGGAAGUAACCCAUCAGCUAGGUAAUGUUGGUAAGGGGUUAUCCAAGUCUUUGUGGUGUUGACCUGCAAAACCUUGAGAAACUCAUCCCCCAACAACCUAUAGGUAAUUUAUCCUAGGGACUUUCAGGGUCUCCUAAGUCAUCGACCGAUGUCUUCUCCCUUUUUCUAAGCUUACACCCAAGACCUCCACGUGACUGACCUCGGCUGGUCCUUCUUCAAUUGUCUUGGGUGACUUCAAGGUCUUCUGAAUGACUGAAGGACCUUGUGAAUGGGCAGAUCAGUAAUCACAAUUACGGUGAAGCUCUGAAAGUAGUGGCAAAGUUGUUGAGCUGUAAAUAUCACAACUAAGGCAGCUUUCUCGAUAGCAUGAUAUCGAGUUUUUGGUCCCUGUAGUACCUUACUCAUAAAUUAGAUCGCCUUUUGGACCUUAUCCUAGUCUUGCAAAAUGACCGAGUUAAUUGCCCAAUCUGUAAUCACACAAAAAAGACGAAUAUGGGUAUCAAGAAUUGUAAUAUGUCAUGCUCCAAAUAUGUAUUUUUUCAAACUUUUUUUACUCUAAACAAUACAUAUUACACUGGUUGGUCUUUUCAACCGUUGUAAUAUGUCACGCUCCAAUUAUAUAUUUUUUAAAAUAUUUUUUCCUCUGAACAAUAAAUAUUACACCAGUUGUCAUUCCAACCGCUAUAAUAUGUGCAAAAUAUUUACAAAAAUGCCACCGUAUUUUUGUUUACACCGAUUCUCAAUUAACCGACGUAAUAUAUUAUUGUAGAAUGCGUUAUUUGUAAUAGUGUAAAAAACAAAGCAUUUUGAGCUUAAUCUUCAUUUCAUCUGGGAUUGUACUCAAAACAAGUUUUGUUGAUCAAGUUAUUGAUCUUCUCGCCAAACUCUUUGAGGAUCAUCUUUACAAACUAUUUAUACUAAAUUUAUGAUUAUUACUAAACCAACCAUAAUUGAUGGAAGGAUGUUAGAUAAUAUAUAUAGUGUCUAAUGUAUUAGAUAAUGAGUAUUUCACUAGACGGUAUAGAUGAUAACUUUAGAUGAUAAGCAUUAGACGGUAGCAUUGAAUAGUCGAUAUAUAGUCUAAUGUUAUGCUUUAUUUUCAGUUCCACUUGCUUUCUUUUUGUUUCUUUACAUUUUGUUUUUUUGUUUUCCAUCUCAGUUUAUAUACUGAAAGAUUGUUUAUGUAUGACGUGAGUUUUCUGAAUGAAAUUGUUCUCUUUUCAGUCUUAUCUUCUUCUCCUUCCUAAAGGGACAUUAAUUUGGUGUUAUCCGAUCGGUAUAAUAAAGGUACUGUGCUCCACAUCCAUUUAAUGAAUAUAUAGGUCGUUCGAAUAAAAUAUUUGUUUGUUCCAGCAAAAUAAUACUUUAAAAAUAUGAAUUGCUUCUUCUUGUUACUUUCAGCCACACUUGCAUAUUCAAUCUCAACAUUAUCCCUUCCCCACAUAAAUCCUUUCUUGGCCAACCACUUCCUCUAAUUACCAUAUCGUUACAUCAUUUAUUUUAUUUCAUAUUUCCUUCUUUUUCUUCUCUUUUAUUUCUCUUAAGAAUAAAAUCUAUUUUUAUAAAAUUAAUAUGGAAGCAAUAUUAUUAUUUAAAGAAUACAUUUUAAUGUGUAUAUUUUUUACCAAGAGACAAGUUUGUUGCCGCAUUCAUCUCUAUAUCUGAUUUUCUUUUCCAUUAUUUAAUGUUUGAGGCUACAUCUAUGGAUUUUUACUCGUGAAAAUGCAUCCAUUAUUUUAAUAAAAGUAAUUAGCUGAAUUAAAAACAAGUAACUGUCCCUUUGAGAUUAUAAUUAUUUUGUAGUCAUUAAACUAUUUGUUCCUUCUUAUUAAUUAAACAUCAUUUUAGGAGAACAGUCUAAAUAUCUACAGUUUAAACUAUAAGUUGAAUAUUGUACACAUGUCACUACAACUUCAUUUAAUACAUUUAAGCAGAUCCUAGUUAUAGUUUAAUAUUUUUUUUAAUAGUAUAUGUAAUAUAUUUUUUUAAACUAUAAACAAAGUUUUAUGCUAUUAGUUACAUAAAAUUUAAAACGUGGUUCUUCGUGUUCAUCAAUUUACUUCUCUGACUUAUGUAAUAGUAAUCUCUUGACCAUACGUUAUGUUAAAAUCUGCUAUCUCAUUUCACUAAAACAAAAUUCUUUAAUAUAUUAAAACUUUCACUAUUAAAUUAUCUAAGCAUAAUAUUAUAAAGAAUUAAAAUAUAACAUUAAAAGCAUCCAAAUAUGAAAUUAAAAAUAACUAAACAAAUCUUGAGGCAUUUAAAAAACAUAAGAACUAACUAAGCAUUAUUAAAAAAAUCAUAAAUAAAAGACUUGAAUUUAAAUUUAUAUAUAUAUAUAUAUGAUAUAUUUAGGACAUGAAAUGUAGGUAUUAUAAUACUUUUACCUUUAUUCAUCUCCUCUAAAAUUUGUACAGGAAUAACAAUAUGAACUCGUCCAUCUCGCAUUAGGCUUGCAAAAUGGGGUUGGAUCGGUUCGUUCCGUAUAAGAAAUGUAGGUUGGAUCGGUUCGUUCCGUAUAAGAAAUGUAGGUUGAUUUCACUGACUCAUCACGCAUAAAAGUAGGUUCGCAGCUUUUGGGCCAAUUCGCAUAAAAAAUGUUUUUAUAAAAAAUUAAUGAAAAAUAUUUUUUUGUUUAUUAAAUUAAUUAUUUUUCUUAUUUAGAUGAAUUAGGUAAAUUGUCUUAUAGUAUUAUUCUCACGACACAUGGAUAAGAGUAAAAUCAUUAUGAUGUUAUGAUUUUCAAUGAAAUUUGGAUUUUAAUCAUACUAAUAAAUUGAUUAUAAUAAAAUAAUUUAUUAAAUAUAUACACUUUUUUUAAAGUAAUACAUGUAGACAUAUUAUUACUAUUUGAAAAAAUAGUAUAAACAAUAUUUAUAAUAUAUAUAUAUAUAUAUUAAUAUUAUAUUUAAAUUUUAUUAUAAAAAUGACUUAAACUACUACAGUAUUGAAACCUAAACAAUCUAUGCAUUUAAGAAAGACAAAAAAUGACUACAUAUAAAAAAAUCAUUAAGUCUUCCUGCACCUCCAUACCUUUCUUCCUACAUCCUAUACGAAAAAAAAAAAAAAAACUCAAAUUACUCUUUGACAUUUUUCAUUUAACGUUUUUCUUUAAUUUCAUAAUGUAGAAUUCAAAGACUUCUCAUGUUAUAGAAUCCUAAAGUUAAAAUUUGUGUUUCAGAUUGUACAAUCUAGAUACAAUGUAUUCUCGAUUGCAUUGCACAUUUAAUAUAAGUUUUGUAUUUUGUAUUUCAGUUAGUAGAAUUUAGACCGUUCUAUGCUUAGUUCACAUAAACUACAAGUUAUAUGUGAAAACAAGUCAACGAAUUAAAUUAACUAACUUAUUUAAAAAAAUUUCUUAUCAAAUUCAAGUCAACCUUCAAAAGUCAUCUCAUAUUGUAAUUCCAAAUAUAGAUAUUGAUUCAUUCCAAAAUAAACAAAUAUUUAAGAUUUGAAUACUUUAACAACUUAACAGACUUAUCUAACUAAUAAAUUGAGAAAAAGUGAAAAUUACAUAUCAGAGUAUAUACAUUAUUGUUAUUCUUUUCUAAUAUGUUUUUAAUUUUUAUUUAUUCUUAAUUAUUUGUCUCUUUUUAUCUUUUUUAGCUUCAAUUCUAAAUUUAGUUUAAAGUUUUUAAAAUAUUUUCUCUAUGAUAACAAAAAAAAAUGUUCAUCACAAUAUAAGUUUUUAUUGUAAGUUCUAAAUAUAAUAUAUUUAAAAUAUUUUAUUUUAAAUUCUAAUUAUAUAAAUUAAAUAUGUAAUAAAUACUAUAUAAAAUAGAGGCACCAUAUUUUUAUCCAUAUAUUAUUAUUAGUUUUUAGCUUGUACUCCUAUUAUAGAUAUAAACUUGUCAACCUUUUUUUUUGUGUGUAGAUUAAUGUUGGAGAGAAAUAGACAUUGAGUUGUACUUGAAGAUAGUACAUGAAAAGUAAUGUUAAAUUAAUGAUAAUAAAUAUAUAUAUAUAUAUAUAUAUAUAUUAAUUUAUAAUCAUUCAUGUCUAUUUUUUCCAAAAAUGAUCAAACAGUAAAUAUAAUCCAACAAAAUAUUAGAUAUUAUAGUACAAGUAAAAAAAAUUGUGCAUAAAAUAUGUUUAUAGAAUUAAGAAAAAUUUAACACGCUGUUUCUCAAAAAAAUUAUCAAAAUAGAUAAAUACUAAAAUAAUUACAAAAUUAAAUAAGUCAUGUUUAAUUUUUUUUUUUAUUGAAGUGUUGAUUGAUAACUUGUAUUUAUUAAAUCUAAUUUUAUAAUUUUGAUCUCAUUUAUCCAUAAUUUGUCAUUAUAUUUUCCAAAAAAUUGAACUAUGAAAAUAAAUUUUGGUAGAUCUGAAUGUGCUCAUUACUUAUGAACGAGUGAGUACAUAGAUCUGGAAAUACAUUGCCCAAAUCAGUAUAGUUGAAUGGGAAGCAAUGGAAUCACAUUAUGUGAUGAUAAAAUAUAAAACUGAAAAAAUGAAAACCAUAUUCCGAACCAAAUAGUCCAAUCUAAAGAGAUUGUAACUUAAACUACUUUCUCCACAAACAUACAAUUCUUAUUAAUUGCCUUCUUCAAAUCUUGAAGCCCAACAUGGGCACCACAGAACACGGUUCUCUGCAUGCGACUCACAUCACUCACCGUUACGUUCCUCACGCUUUCCCAUUCGCAGCUUCCGCCAUUAUUCCCAACCUCGCACACAACAAUUUCCUCCGCUUUCCAUAGGUUCUGAAAAUACACAGAAUUCCCAAUCCAGUUAACCUCAAUCGAACCAGUACCCAUAAUCUUCACCAUCAACUCCUUCGGCAUCGCUGCUAACUCCUCACACCAAUACCCUAAUUCACUUUCCAACGCUAAUUCCCCUUUCACUUCCCACAACUUCACCUCCUCUACCUUCUCCGCCUCGCCCACCAUCCCCGCCACCAUUAAACGACCGCCUAUCGCUCCGGUCACGCAGUGGAAAACACUUCGAUCCGGACGCACCUCCAACGGGCCAUUCCACGUCAUCGUGUUGCAAUCCAGCGAGUACGUCACGCCGGAGUUUUUCUCCGUCACGUACAUCCUCUCCCCGACGACGGCGGUCGAGAGCCACGUGGAAGCGGAGGAGUCCUUGAGAAUGGCUGGCAUCGACUGGCAGCGCGUCCACGCGCGGGACUCCAUGUCGUAUACCUCCACCGCCAGGGGAUCGUCCUCGAAGUCGCACGCGCCUCCCGCCAGCACGAUGCGAGGUCCCACGCGCGCGACGAUGGGGUCUAUGCGAGAGACGCGUGGGGAACACGCGUGGUGCCAGUGGAGACGGAGGGGGUCGAGGGAGAAGGCGAACUCGCAGGGAGAGAGCGUGUAUAGGAGUGUGGAGUGCGAGGCGCGCAGGGGGGAGGUGUGGUUGGGAUGCGGCGCGUGGAUUUGGAACCAGGUGCGGGAGCGUGGGUCGUAGGCGAAGGUGGUGGUGAGGUGCAGUGCACGGGGGUUCUGGAUGUGCAGCGUGAGCCAGGGUUUGACGGGGUUGACGUGGCGGAGGGAGGUGGAGAGUGCACGGUUCCAUGCACGUGACACGUGAGAAGGUGAGACGAGGUGGAUGAGUGGCAAGUGAGAGAAUAUAAUCUCUAAGAUGUCUCCUUGAAUGGGAGCUUCGCUAUGGUCCGUCUUUUCUCUUUCCUCACUGCAUGUUUCCAUCUCUCAAUGCCUCCUUUAUUUUAUUUCACCCUCUCUUUAUAUAUAGAGUAGCACAAUUCAAUUAUAGGAGGAUCCCACCAAAUUUCUUCAUUUUUCACACAAAUUCUUAUUAUUUUCUUUCAUUUUAAAUCAAACUUAAUUCUCUUAUUUAUUUAUUUCCUUUAUUUGAUAUUAAGUCCCUUCAAACUCACGACACAAACUUUUCCUAUGUGUUUAAUGUAUUUCACCAAAUUAAUAUGUUCAUAUCACAAACUAUUUAAUUUAGCUUCUUGAAAUAAGUUAUUCCACCAUUAAUUAUGCACAUCUUCUCCCUUUUACUCAAGUCUUUUCACUAGAACCAUAUAGAUAGUUUUGUCUAUUUUGAAUAAUGUGAGUCCCAAAAAAAAUAUUUAAACUAGUUUUAGUCUUCUUCUUUUUUCAAAGAAGUUUAUUUGAAGAGAUUUAAAAGAAAAUUAUAAAAAUUUGAAGAUUGUUUUAAUUAAGAUAUGUAAAAUGAAUUUCUAACCAAAUUUAUUAAAAUUUAUGAGUAAUGAGAUGAUAGUGAGAGAAUUUUUAAUAUUGUUCUAGCGGGCUACAGUGGUGGUUUUUAUCUCUCUUUCCUUUUGUCUUUGUCGCAAAAUCCAACGGAGGGUUUUCCACCUGUUGAUUACACCCCGAUCAAGUCAGUGAGAACACUUAUAUAUUAUAAUGUGGUGUAAAUAUCGUAGAGUCAACUUACUUGGUGGUUAGAGUCUCAAGGUCUUUAAUAACAAUCGUCAAGAAGAUAACUACAUAAUUAAUUCGUUACUAUUUUUCCUCGUAUUUUAGAGUUAUAUUUUUGUAGAGUAUAGUCUCUGAUUGUGUCUUUCUGUUUUAAAUAAUUAACUGAAUUAGUUAUAAUACACAUUUAUUGUUUGGGCUGCAUUAACCUUUAUCAAAAGUGAGAAGUGGACACUCUUUUAGAGACACUGAACUUUAUCAUGUUUGAGUCGAUUUCUAGAAUUAUAGUAUGCUCAAUAGAUACUGCCCUUACCGAUGAGUUAGGAACUCAAAUAUUUAGACUAUAUACUGAAUAUACCCUGAUCAGUACAAAUAUCUUUAAAAAUAUUUGAAUAAUGAUUGAUAACUUGUUCAUCAAAUUUUAAUUAAGACUAUCAAAAUAUCUUACACAUUAUUGUCUAACAUGUGUAAUAAGAAUAAAUAUAUAAAAACUUUGAAACCAAACACACUGUAAAUGAAAUCUUAUACUCCGAUGAAAUUUUUGUCUUAUUACCACAAAAUUAUUUUUUGUUAGACUAACCUUUAAUUUAUAUUUUAGAGAAUUUACUUAUUAGCUAAACAUCAAAACAAAAAUUGCCCUUAAUUUAUCUUCGUACUUAGACGAAUGAAGAACAAACAAUUUACAAUUUUUUUUAAUUGUGUUAAAAUAAUCAAGGUCCCUUUAAUCAAUGUUUUUAGAUAUUGAUUAAAGAAAUUAAAAGAGGGAUUUCUUUUUUAAAUAAUGUGAGAGCGUAUUAAAAGUUCGUAGGGGAGUGUAUUUCUCCGCUUCUCAAUAAAAAAGUUUCCUCCUUUAAUAAAUAUUUUUUAUUAAUUCUUAGUUAACAUUUUCCAAAUAAUUAAUUGUUCAUAAAAGAGAGAAAGAGCCAUCCGAAGCAUUUAUUAGUUAUAUACUAAGAUCGUUAAAGAUAUUUUGAUGAAAAAUAAUUAAUACAAAACAAUUAGGAAAAAAAAGGUCUUAUAGUAGAGAUAGGGAAAUUUUAAAACAAUAUAUACCAAUUAGUGACAAAGAGAGUACUUUAUAUAAUUAUAUUUAUAUAAAAAAUUUAAAAUAUAAAUUAUAUUGUAAUAAAAGUUACCUUAUAAGCACAAAAAGAAAACAGAAAAAAGAAACUAAUCUAAGAGUCUCUCCAUUAAAUUAACAAAACUAAGUAGAAGCACACAAUAUAAUCAAACUUUUAUACUAUAAUGUAAUUUCAAUACAGUAAAAAAAGAGACUAAGAUAACGUAAUAAAAUGUACGCAGACACAUAAAAAGAACUUUCUUAUUGUGUAAUAAUUAAAAAAAAUCUCGUUUUUUCAAUGUAUAUUAAAAGAUAUUGUACAUAUUUACGAAGAGCUUUACUAAAAUUUAGUUUAAACAAUUCUCUUUACAACUUCUUAUAAAAUUGAAUAAAUUGAUUUUUAAUUAAAAUUUAAAUAUAUUUUAUAAUUUGUCGAAAUUGAACUAAUAUUCUUUCUCAAAUUUAAGAUUAAGAAUUUAAAAUAAUUAUUAUGUUAGGAAUGUAGAAUGCGUCUAAACCUAGAAACAACUUUUUAAUAAAAAUAAAUUAAAAUUAUGAUUCAUGUUGAUGCUAAGGGUAUGCUUCAACAACAUCUUCAAAGAACAACUUGACUUUAAACAUUGAUAUUAAGCAUGUUUCUCCAAAAACUAACACUUGUCUCAAUCUAAAUCUAAGUUAGUUCAACACCUACCUAUCUAAACUUGAUGUAUUAAUCUUCUUAGUUAAUCACUACUUGAUUUACUCUUUUAAGUGAUCAGAUCAUAAAAAGAAGAGAAAUACGAGAAAAAUAAUUUUAAAUAGUAUAUUAAUUAUUUAUACUUAUUUUUAAUUUAAUUUAAUUUUUAUUAAUGACAAAUAUUUAUUUAAUCUCAUUUGAUUUUUCAUAUAUAUAUAUAUAUAUAUAUAUAUAUAUAUAUUCUCAUUUUUUUACUAUUUGUUUUUGUAUGUGAUAAGCUUUUGGUUUAGAAGAAAAAAAGGUGGACACGUCAUAAUAACGUGGUGGUCCUGAGCCUAACCCAGUUAUGUGUGGUCCCAAGCUAUUAUUACUUUUUGGAUGAAAUAAUGGAUUUGAGAGAAUAAAAAGAAGGAAAAGAGGAUGAGAAAUGAGACGAUUUAGAUUAAGAAAAAAAGUAUUUAUUUUUGGAUGAAAUGAUUGAUUUGAGAGAAUAAAAAGAAGGAAAAGUGAGUGAAAAAUGAGAUGAUUUAGAUUAAGAAAAAAUAAAUAAAUAAGAGUGUAAAUUUGUUUUUUUUAGUGUUUUGAUAGAUAUAAUAAAUUUUAAAAAAUUAUAAAAUAAUUUAAUGUAAAUUUUUUAAAAUAUAGAUUCAAAUUAAAAUAUUUUUUUUAAAUUAAUAUAAAUAUUAAUAAAAAUACAUAUUUGAAAAACAAAUUAUAAAUGUUAAAUAUAUAUAUAUAUAUAUUUAAGAAGUCAAUUUUAAAUUUAUAUCAAUCUCAUAAAAACCAGUUCAAUAAAAUGAAGUUAUGAAAGAUUCUAAUAUUUAAUCAUAUUCAACAUUUAUAUAUUAAAACAUAACUUUUGUAAUGAAGCUUUGUUCGUUAAUUUCUUUACAAAUGCAAAGAAAACACCUUUUUAAUAAUUUUGUUAUUGUUUUUCCACCUUUCUCUACACUGUUUCCAUCGAUUUUCUGGCGCCUAGAAACAGAUCAUUAGUGAUGGAAACGUCACUUCAAAGAGUAAAAGGCUUGGCCACUUAUACACAGUGGAUUGACAUGUGUUUGGAUUUUGAAAGAAGUAAUUAAUGAGACAACAACACGUUUGUAAGAGAUCCAACAACAUUUGUGUGGCCUUAUGAUAAUUAUGGCCUACAUAUUCUUAAAUGCUUCUCUCAAUCUUCCAUCCCUAUUCAUUCUUUUUUUCUUCCGACGUUGGAAAACUUUGCCCUGUUUGCUCAUAAAACAUGGGGCAUGUCUCCUUUCCACUUUUCUUACUCCAUUUCCUUCGUGAUAUAUGCAGUGCUUCUUGGAUUUGAUGGACUUUAAUGAAGUGAUAGUUGAAGGAAGAGGAGGUAAGUAUUAUCACCCCUACAUUUCAAAUUUAAUGAUUUUUAAGAAUUUUUUUUAAAUGAACUAAGAAAUGAAAUUAUAUGAAGAAAAGUUAUAAAAAAGUAUUUAUUUUUUAAUAAUUAUUUUAAAUAUUAUACUAAUUUCGUUUAUAUUUCAUGACAUUAUAUAACUAGUUCAUAACGAUUCAAUAUCAAAUUAAAAUUUACUAAAUAAGAAAUAAAAUUAGUAUGAUUUUCAAUUUUUAUACAUUUUAUUUAUUGAGGUCUCAAGUUCCUUUUAUUGAUAUCCCUUUAACGAUUUUUUCAAAUUUCACAAAGUGAGAUUUUAUCAGGGAGAAUAUAAUCUCAACAGAAAACAUAUAAUCAUAACAGAAAAAACAUAUUACUUAUGUGCACCUUUAUCUUCAGGUGCUAACUGUUAGAAUUGUAGACCUUAAACAAGAGGGGGUGAAUUGUUUAUAAAAUAUUUACGCAAAUAUUGAAGGUAUAGAGAAAGCCAACGAAGAAUCAAAGAGAAAGAAACCAAGUUAGCAAAGAAACAAAUUUGUUUUAUUAUGUUUCCAAAAAAUCAACUGGUUGUUUAUGCGAUUCAACCGGUUGUUUUUAUCAACAUUUAAUAAAAAUAAACCAAAACAGAUUUAAAUGAGAUUAAGGAUAGAAAGAAUUACACAACAAAUUUAUAUUGGUUCACUCUUAUCCAAGAGCUACAUCCAGUCCCCAGGUAUUCCACUAAGCAAUCAAAUAACCUUGAUUACAAACCACACACCAAAGAGGUGAUCUUGAACCCUUCAAUAUCACACACCUCCUUUGGCAAACAACACACCACAAAUCACAUAACACCUUCUGGAUUUGCGCAGAACACGUUUACACAGAAUUACAAUAUUCAAGAGAGAAAAUGAAUGAUCACACCUGAUACAAAUUGAAUUCAAAAGUUACAAAACAAUCCUAUUUCACUCUUUGAAAAAUCCAAAGCUUAAAGCAAUCUUGGAGAAAAUUGAUUUGAAAGAUUUAAUCUGAUAUCAUAAUUACCAGGAGCGUAAAAUAGAUUAUUUAAACUUCAAAAGGUUAUUAAAAACAUUUAAUGCAAGAGUCAAAUCAGUUUUGAACCAAUUAAAACAGAUUUACCAAACUUACAAAUUCUGUUAAGGAUUUUCAAAAACAAAUCGGUUGAAAUGUUGAAAUAACCGAUUGAAUUAGUUUGACAGCAAGGUCAACCAAUUUCAAGCUUUGCCAAAACCUGUUUCAAAAACACUAAGUGUAAAAUAACCAAUUGAAACGAUAAAACAACAUGUUAUUUUUCCACUUCUUUGGAAAACACUUUUUUUCAAAAGAAUUUGAUUUAAACCAACUUUGGAUCCUAACUAAGAGUAUAUUACAAAUUCAAACUACCCAGAACCUACACACACAUGCAACAACGAAGCCUUCAACCAAUCUUCAUGGAUUUGGAGACAUCAAAGCCUAUCUUCAACAAUCUCCCCCCAUUUGAUGAAGACAAAUCCCUGGUUUGCUUGUGUUGUUCUAUUUAAAUUUGGAAGCACCUGCAAAACAACAAUUGUGCAUGUACCAGAUAGUAAUAAUAUCUAAGUUUAAACAACACCAUUGAACCAGUUUUCAUCAUAUGAUUUCCAGCAAGAAAACCAUAAAAGCUAGUGUGAAAACCAAUGAAAUAAGUGCAAAAUCACAGCAAAGCAACAACAAGUAUACACUGGAUUUAAACCAGAUAAAUUGCAGUAGUUCAACACAUAAAACCAGAUAAAUCUCCCCCUAUUUUUCUUCUUAAAUAGAGUAAGACAAGGGAUAAAAACAGAAUUUAAGAAACUCAUUUCUUAAGAAGAAAACUAGAAAACAGUGUGUGGCAGCACCAUUGCAGCAACAAACCUAUGAUACCAUAUCAGAAUUGCAGCAGAAAUCUAUGGUGUAUUAGAGUUAUGACAACAUCAAAAUUAACACAGAAUUAAAGUACCAUAGACCCCAGAAAUUACAAAAAGGAGACCACAAUUUCUCCCCCUAUCUUUUCUUCAUCCAGUUCUCUAAAUGGAAAAUAUACAACUUUCUUGCACAGGUCAAAGAGAUCCGAACUCGUGUAACCUUCACAUAAGAAAGCUAUACAGUCAAAGUCAAAGUUUUCUUCAAUCCUCCCACCUUUCAAGAUAACAUUCAAUAUCUCGACCAUUUCCCUUUGAUAUGGAAUAUAUAUUUCAAAUUCUUGAGGAAGACGUCAAAGUAUUGCUUCAUCAUGUUCCAAAAAGUUGUUAACUUCAUCAAUGAAUAUGAUGGCAUGCAGGAGUUUAUGAGCUAGGCUAAAUGUGGCAGAUAUAAGUUUGGCCAUCUCCAGACCACUUGCUCAUCAAGUUUGAUAUCCAAACAUUGAUAAAAGCUACUUCAGACGCCUUAGCAAUAGCUUUGGCAAGCAUGAUCUUCCUCGUGCCAGGUGGUCCAUACAAUAGGACACUCUUUUGUAAAAGCUUACAUCUUGGUCCCCAAUAUCAAAAGUCAUCUACUUUGCUGCAGCAAGUUCAACCUCACUAGAGCACACACCAUAUGCAAUACCAACAAUAAAGCACUUCAACUAAAUAUUAGAAGCCAUCUGCUUCCCAUUCUAAAUACAAAGUAGGGUCAUUGUGCCCACUAAAACUAGGUAACUUUACAAAAUUAAAAGAAUGUUGUGGUUGUUGUUGGAGUUGAUGGUGCCAGUUUGCAAAAUUAUGCACUUGCCAAUCAUUUUUUCGACUCCCAUAGUGCAUGGAAUGUCUAGUUGCUCUUGGCGGCUCCCAACUCCUUUCUUGAGUUUGCUUCACUUGAGCUUCUUCUAGUCUUUGCAAUCUUUUCGCUAGUUGGCUUAUUUCCUCGUCUUUGUGAACCAUUUGUUUCUUGGCAUUCACAAGUUCUCCCAAAAGGUGGGCUUUGUGAUGUGAUUAGGGUUUUGAAAAUUCACCUAAAGACAAAUGAACCAUAAUUUUUUUGGCACAAAGGAAACAAACAAUUAGUGAAAACAAUUUAAACACUCCCCAUGUGUUUCACUAAAGAAAGAGAUGCUCUCAACAAAGGCCUAUCUUGAUGUUGAAUACUCUCAAAUGAAAAAGGUCAAAGCCCUAAUCACUUGAUCUAAAUGGAUCCACAACAAAACUUAAAAGAAAAUUUCAAAAGACAAACAAGAAAAGCUCAAAGCAAGAAAGCUAAACCAAAUUUGAGAAAAAAUGUAUCACAAAACUUUUUAAGAAAAACAAUCAAGAAAAAGGCACACAAAAAGACUCUAAGAUACUUACUAGAACUUUUAACAAUGAUUUUCUUUCUUUCUUUAGAAAUUGUUAAUGGCAAAAGGAUAAAAAUUCCACAAUGUUGAAAUCAAUUUGCUAAUUAAAAUGAACCCACUAUUUUGAAAUGUUGCUAUUUGAAAAGAUUGGAACCAACAAGCUUGCGCAACUUCUCUUACUUUUUUUUUGGAUUAUGGAAAUGAGAUGUCCAUAGUUUUGAUCAUGCAUAAUUUCACAGACCUCCAAUUUUCACCAAAAGUUUGGGAUUCAAAUCAAUUGAUCUCUUGAAAUCUUUUGUUUGGAACUUAAAUCUAUUUAUACUAAAACGAAUUUCCAAUUACUUUUAAACUUUCACAAUUAAAAGCAAAGUAAGUAGAAGCAAAAUAUAAGGAAUCCUAGAACACUAAAGAACAUAUGACUCAAGGCAAAAUAGGCAAUAACUGUUAGAAUUAAAGGCCUUAAACAAGAGAGAUGGUGAAUUAUUUUUAAACAUUUUUCGCAAAGUUUAAAGGUAUGAAGAAAGUCAAAGAAGAAUCACAACCAAAGGAAUGAGAGAACACUAGUUAUAAAACAGUUUUAGUUGAAUACCAUAAAUUCAACCGGUUGUUUCUGCGAUUCAACCGGUUGUUUCUAUCAACAAUGUAUAAAAACAACUAAAAACAUAUAUAAAAGAGAUUAGGGAGAGAAAGAAUCACACAAACAAUUUUAUACUGGUUCACUUUUAUACCAAGAGCUACAUCUAGUUCCUAGAAACCUUUGGGUAUCCACUAAGUAAUAAAAAAUCAUAUUACAAACACACAACCACCAAAGAAGUGAUUUUGAUCCCCUCAAGAACAUACACUUCCUUUGGCACACCACAUAUCAGAACACCCUCUGACUCUGUGAAAACCAGUACUUACAAAAUUACAAAAUGAAGAAAGAAAUAGGAUUGAUCACACCUGGUACAAAUCAAAUCAAAGUACACAACAAGUCCUACUUCACUCUUAGAAAAAUAUCCAAAGCCUUAAGCAAUCUUGGAGAAAACUUGAUUUCACAAACUGAUCUUGUAAGUGUUAAUGAUAGGAGCGUAAAACAGAACAUUUAUACUCCAAGAGACAGAUGAAAACAUUUAUUGUAAAAGGCAAAUCAGUUCCAAAUCAUUUAAAGCAGAUUUAACUAACUUAACAAAAUUAUGUUAAGAAAAUUCAAAAAACAAUCGGUUGUUUUGUCGAAAUAACCGAUUGAAUUGGUUUGACAACAAAGUCAACCAAAUUUAAACCUGUUAAAACCAGUUUCAAAAAUCCUAAGUAUGAAACAACCGAUUGAAAGGAUAAAACAACUGAUUGUUUUUCUGCUUCUUCAUAAAACAAUCUUUUUAAAAGGAUUUGAAUUAAACCAACUUUGGAUUCUAACUAAGAGUGAAUUAACAAAUUCAAACUACCCAUAACUCAUACAACUAAGCUACAAUCAGCCUUCUAGCAAUCCAUGGAGAUUUGGAGUCAUCAAAGCUCUUGUUCAACAAUCUCCCCUUAUAUGAUGAAGACAAAUCCCUGGUUUGCUUUAUUGAGAUCUAUUUGAAUUUGAUAGUACCUGCGAAACAAUCAAAAUAACAAUACCAGAGAGUAAUUUCAUCCACAAUCUCUUACACAAAUGAACCAGUUUUCACUAUGUGAUUUUUCACAAAGAAAAUCAGCAAAAUCAGUGUGAAAAACCAAUGUAAGUGAGUGUGAAAAUCAGAGUUCCUGCACAACUAUAUAUCAACAUUUAAACCAGUUAUAAACAACAAUAAACCAACAACCAAAUCAGCAUAUUCUCCCCCUAUAUGUCUUCACAAAUAGAGUAAGAGACUAUAAAAACAAUUUAACAAUAUAAAAUAUUUUAGCAAAAAAAACCAUACAAAAAUAUAAAAUUGUUCAUCUUAAACCCAACAAAUUUAAAAGACAUAAGAUAUGAGCAGGUCUUCAAUCAUCUUUCCCAUACUAGAGUUCAAAGAGCUGAUUCUGGAUAGCUUCAAUUUGCUCAUUAAGAUCCUGAAAACGAGAUACACAGAAUUCAUGAUGGCUCCUUUGUUCAUUGACAAAGUUGUUCAUUAUACUUAACAUCAACCUCUCAAAGGGUGAUAUGGAUGUGAUGCGUUCACCCAUGUUUCCAGCACUUUGUCCAGCUUCAUAAGCACUAACAUCAUCUCCUCCAGCUUCCAUUUCAGCAUCACCUUCGGUAGCAAUAGCAUGAGGUUGAUAUUCAUCCUCAUCUUCAGCAUGUGCACCACUUGAUGAGCCAGCAUGAUCACCACCUUUACCAACCCACCUUCCAUUAACUUUGGUGAAUCCCAUCCUACUUAAGGAUCCAUUAUUAAAUUCACUUGUAGUCUUCACAAGUUCAUAUUGUUCAUCCUCCAAGUCAACUUCAAAAUAAUACAUAAAUUUAGUAAUCAAAAUAGCAUAAGGAUAAUGAUAAUCACAUAACCUUAUAGACUUCAGCAUGACAAGUUCAGAUUGUUCAUCCUCCAAGUCAACUUCAAAAUAAUACAUAAAUUUAGUAAUCAAAAUAGCAUAAGGAUAAUGAUAAUCACAUAAACUUAUAGACUUCAGCAUGUGCUCCUUAAUGACAUGAAUCCAGUUGAUUUUACAACAUAUUCUAUCUUUUAAGAAGAUCAGAAGGAAGAACAGUUGGUGUUCCGGUUUAUGCUCAUCUCCUUUGGUGAGGUCCAUGAGAUCCUUGGUGAGGUCUUGAAUUGUUCACUGAGAUGACUGCUCACCAUGUGCCUUAUCUUUUGCUUCCUUGUCAUCUUCAUAACUACUUGGUUUAUAUCACAAAGUGAUGGGAAAUGCAUAAUGAAAUACAUUCAUACCUUUGCACAUAGACUACCUCAACAAGUUUAACCAAGAGAAACAUGUUUAAAUGUUUAUUUGGUCAUAUGAGGCACAUGCAUAGGAUGAGAAUAUACAACUUACUUUACAUGGCUCAUGAUUUUUUUACUUGUUAAGAAUCUGAGUAAGAUGCAUACUUCUCAACCAUAAGAACAUGCAUCACUUUGAUGAGUUUUCACCAGAGCACUUCUACUUUAACCCAAAUUUUUCUUGAUUCCCAAGAGUACAUUUGUUGUUGUCCCCAUAUUUCUCAUGACCUUCUUGCUUAAGGAGUAGAUUUGACAGGCUUGCAUUUAUCCUUUGUUAUGUGCUUCAGAACAGCCACAGUUAAGGUAUCAUAAGUGUUAGUUUUCUGUCAAAAAAACCCUGAAAGAACCAAGAUCAAGGAGCAAAAUUUGGGUCCAUGAGUGUUAGAAGGAACAUUAGGAACCUUAGAAUUCUUAGGAAUCCACUUUAAAAUAUCCCUGGGAACAUUUUUUUUUUUAACUUUGCAGAAUUUAACAUAGUGGCCCUUCUUGAUACAACAAAAGCAUGAAACAACCGGCUGUUUCGACUUUUCAAUCAUUUAUUUUUAAAAGAAACUUGUAAAUGGCUUUGUAACUGUUCUUUUCUUCUUGUGUGGACUAAAACCCAAACCAACUUUACCAAAGACACAUUUUUUAGAAGAAAGAACAAUUUCAAAGUUAGAUUUUUCUUUAGAAAGCUUGUCCACAAUUUUCACAAGAUAAUAAACCUUCUUUUCAAGAGAUUCACAAUUUUCACAAACAUUUGAGUCACACUUGCAAGAAGAGUUCUUGUAAAUGAGAUCCAGAUUUUCAAAAUCACUUUUCAAAUUAUCCAGCUCUUCUUCCAAUACCUUGACUCUAUUUUCCAGCCAAUUAUUCAAGCCUUUCAAAUGGUUAUUUGAAAGGGCCAUCCUAUUAGCUUCUUCAUGAGUUUCUUUAAAAGCAUCAAGAAGUUGGCUGUAGUUUUCAAAAUUAAUUAAAGGGCUGGAACUUACACUGCUUACAUCAGUUUCUUCUUUUGCCAUCAAGUAAAGAUUUGCUUCUUUAUCUAUUGAAGAUGAGUUAGAGGAAGAAACUUCAUUAUCUUGUCAAGCAAUGUAGGCUUUCUUGGCUUUGCCUUUCUUUUCUCCUUUCUUGCUUGAUCCUCUUUCUUUAUUCUCAUUGUUUGGGCAAUCAACUUUAAUAUGUCCUUAUUCACCACAACCAAUGCAGGAAUAUUUGUUAGAGUUAAAAUCAUUGUGUUUUUUGCUACUAUAUACCUAUUGAAAGAUUGAUUUUUGUUGUUGUUUUUCUUCAGGAAUUUUCUUAGUGUCCUGGUCAGCAAGCUUAGUGUUUCUCCAUCACUAUCAUCACUUGAGUAUUGACAGUAAUGUCCAACAGCCUUCAGGGUAAUGUUCCUCUCAUGCUUAUCCUCAUUUUCUUGACAUUCAACUUGUUCAUAUCUAAUUCAUGUUCUUUGAGCUUUCCAAACAGUGAAGUUGUGGUCAUAAAUGUUAAAUCCUUAGACUCAGAGAUAGCUGUGACCUUGGGCUGCCAAGAUCUGUCUAGGAACUUGAGGAUUUUGAUGUUGAGUUUCACUUUUUCAAACAUCUUCCCAAGACUCAUGAGGUGGUUGACAAUAUGGGUAAACCUCUUUUAUACUUCAACAAUUGUCUCCCCUUUCUGCAUCCUAAACAUCUCAUAUUCUUGAGUGACAACAUGCUUCCUUGUUCUCUUCACGUCAUUUGUUCUUUCAUUAGUGACUUCUAGAGUAUCCCACAUUUUCUUUGCUGAUUCACAUUGUGACACCCUGAAAAACUCAUCAGAACUUAAGGCAAAUGUAAUAAUAUUUUUUGCAAUACAAUCAUAUUGAGCCUUUUUGCUUUCAUGCUCAGUCCAUUAGGACCAAGGUUUAUUAGAAAUCACUUUAUCAUUUUCAAGCAUAGGAACAAAAAGACCAUUUUUAAUUGCAUUCCAAAUUCCUUUAUCAAUUGAUUCUACAAAGAUCUUCAUCCUUACCUUCCAGAACUGGUAAUUUACACCACAAAACAAAGGUGAUCUAUUAAUAGAUGCACCCUCCCCAAAGGGUAGUUCAUCAGCCAUGAAAAAAGAUUUUUGGAUCAAAACUUGAAUGACUUUAAAGAACCUAACUCUUGAUGCCAAUUGUUAUAAUUAUAUUCCUUAAAUAAGAGGGUGUUAGAAUUAAUGGCUUAAACAAUAGGGGGUGAAUUGUUUAUCAAAAUAUUUUUGCAAAUAUUGAAUAAGAAUGAAGCUUUAUCACAAUUCAAAGAUUAAGCAAUCAAGGAAAGCAAUCAAACAAUGUAAAAGAAACUGUUUGCAGAGAUUCAAUCGGUUAAAACUUCGUUUUAACCGGUUGUUUAUGGCAGCAACAAAAGCAGAAUUAAAACAAACAGUUUAUAAGGAGUGAGAGAGAGAGAGAGAGAUUUACUUAGCCAAUUUUAUACUGGUUCACUCAACCUUGAGCUACAUCUAGUUCCCAAAACAACCUCUGGGUUCCACUAGUAACCAAUCACAAAUUACAAUCACAACUGCAAAGAGGUGAUCUUGAAACCACAAGAACCACUCACCCUCUUUGCUACACACACCUUUAGUCAGAACACCCUCUGACUUUAUAGGAUUUCCACACACUUACAAGUUUACAAAAGAACAAAUACAAGAAUCAUGAAAAGAACAGAUUACACCUGAGUUUACAGGAAUCAGAAAGCUCAUAUGAUCAGACUUUGAACCAGUGCACAACUAUUCAACAAUCUUGCAAACUUUUGAAAAACUUCUUUCAAAAUCAAUCUCAGCCUCACUGUAUUUGAUAUCUCACUUGUGUAUUUUGUUUUAAAAGAAAAGCCAUAUUUAUAGCCCUCAAAACUAGUUGUUCUAGGCAACAUUUAUGAGCCAAAACAAUUCUGAUUCACUUCCAAAACAGAUUAACAGAUUUUCAAAAAGCUGUUAUGAAAUGUCACAAUCAACCGGUUGAAAAGUCGUUUUAACCGAUAAAAUUGGUUAGACAAUUAUUUAACCAAGUAAAAAAAAAAGUUUUAAAACCUUCAAACAAGCUAAGUGACAAACAACCGAUUAUUUCGAGGUUUCAACCAGUUGUUUUUUUCUUUGCUUAGAAAGACACUUUUCUCUUUUAAAACAUAUUGAGCAAGCUUGUGCAAGGGACAAGAAAUGAUCUUUACAAGGAUUCUAAACAACCUAGACUAAGCCCAAACCAACAACAGCACAACUUCAACAUUCAUCAUAGAUUUGAAACAUCAAAUCUCCCAUGCUCUACAGAGAGGGGGAGGGGGGUGUGAAUUGUUUAUAAAAGAUUUCCGCAAAUAUUGAAGGUAUAGAGAAAGCCAAUGAAGAAUCAAAGAGAAAGAAACCCCGUUAGCCAAGAAACAAAUUUGUUUUAUUAUGUUUCCAGAAAAUCAACUCGUUGUUUAUGAGAUUCAACCAGUUGUUUUUAUCAACAAUUAAUAAAAACAAACCAAAAUAGAUUUAAAUGAGAUUAAGGAUAGAAAGAAUCACACAACAGAUUUAUAUUGGUUCACUCUUAUUUAAGAGCUACAUCCAAUCCCCAGAAACCACUGAGUAUUCCACUAAGAAAUCAAAUAACCUUGAUUAAAAACCACACACCAAAGAGGUGAUCUUGAACCCUUAAAGAACACACACCUCCUUUGCAAAAAACACACCACAGAACACCCUCUGGAUCUGCGCAGAACAUGUUUACACAGAAUUACAGUAUUCAAGAAAGAAAAGGAAUUAUCACACUUGAUACAAAUUGAAUUCAAAAGUUACAAAGCAAUUAUAUUCCACUCUUUGAAAAAUCCAAAGCUUGAAGCAAUCUUGGAGAAAACUGAUUUGAAAGAUUUAAUCUGAUAUCAUAAUUACCAGGAGCGUAAAAUAGAUUAUUUAAACUCCAAAAGGUUGUUAAAAACAUUUAAUGAAAGAGCCAAAUCAGUUCUGAAUAAAUUAAAACAGAUUUACCAAACUUAACAAAUUUUGUUAAGGAUUUUCAAAAAACAAUCUGUUGAAAUGUCGAAAUAACCGAUUGAAUUAGUUUGACAACAAGGUCAACCAAUUUCAAACUUUGUCAAAACCUGUUUCAAAAACACUAAGUGUAAAACAACCGAUUGAAAUGAUAAAACAACAAGUUGUUUUUCCACUUAUUUGGAAAACACUAUUUCAAAAGAAUUUGAUUUUAACCAACUUUGGAUCCUAACUAAGAGUGCAUUACAAAUUCAAACUACCCAGAACGUACACACACAAGCAACAACAAAUCCUUCAACCAAUCUUCAUGGAUUUGGAGACAUCAAAGCCUAUCUUCAACACUAAUUAAUUUAUUCUCAACAGCUUUUAGUGAUAUUUAAUUUGUGUAUAUAUUAUAACCAAUGUGAAUAUUCCUUGUAUUUAAUUAUUUUUUUCGAGUUGUCUACCAGCACCUGGGUCGAGCUCAUGGUCCACCCUUUAGGCCCAUACUGGCCUAAAAACCAAGCUAACCUAAACGCUUGAACCAAGUCGAGCUCCUGGCCAAUACACAAGCCCCCCAGGCUCGAGCUGAGCUUGGCUAGGCGAAGAGUCUUUCCAGCGUUGGCAACUAACGUGACGUCUUCGCAGAGGAUAGGUGAGGCGCAGUUACCGAAGCAUCUCUUGAUGAGACAUCCUACCAUACUAAAUCUGAGACAUCCACGUGGGAUGCGAAUCAACGGCUAGGAAGCCUUAUCGCUGCAUCUCCUUCAAACAAUUAAAACCCAUUUCUUCCUCACUUACCCGUUAUGCAAUCUCUCUUCUCUCUAGAACGCUUGUGCCCUAAAAAACCUCUCUUACACCAAAAACUUCUUUCGCACUUCUUCUUCUCCAUCCUCAGACCAGGUAUUUUCCUCCUCCAAUCUCUAUUGCCAAGUAUUUAUUCAUCUUGCGGAUUAUAUUGCCUGAACUAUGAUUUCUUGUCAAUUCGUCUUCUCUACUUGGCCUGAAUUGUGCUUGUACCUUGUUUGGUGUUUACGCUUUUGUUCUAGCUAUUUAUACAAUGGAUUACAAUUCAAUGUACCCCUGGGCCAAGAAAGAGCUUCUAAAAGAGGUUUCUUAUUACACCACCCAUUUACGUCUUAGAGAUUUAAGAGAAAACAGAUGUAGCAUGAGUAAAAGACAGGAGGGUAAAGUAAAAACCAUAUUGUAGGGAGGGUGAGCCCAUUUGUUGUGACGAGUCAUCGGACCCUGGUGGUCCAUUUUGUUUCUUUUUAUGUCACGUUUUUCAAAAAGGUUCUCUUGCGUCUCCCUUUUUCCAUUUUUGAAAAAGAGCUAUUAACCGAGCUCAAUGUUGUCCCUACUCAGCUACACCCUAAUAGUUGGGCAUUUAUUUGUGCUUUUAUCAUUUUGUGCUCACAACUCGACAUCUUGCCGUCUGUUGAAGUUUUUCUCUAUUUCUUUGAGGCUAAACAUACGAGCAAUAAGUUGCAGGUAUCUUUGAAUGGUGCCCCUGAAAGAGCCUUGCUGAUUGAUGACUUUUUACGGCAAGUGCACCACGUUUGUCAGAAGUAAUAAUUGUCCCUAAGGACAGAUAUCGAUCCCACAAGGAACAGUGAAUUAUCGAGUACAAUAAUCACUAAAUAUAAAAACUGAACAAUAAAAAGAGUUUUGAAUUAAUUGUGUUGGGCACUGAUCAAUAAGAAAACAAACAAAAAAUUGGUUGCUUCAAUUUGGAAAAAUAGGGAUUAGGUUUCAUCUCUCUCACUCUCAUGUAUUUUGAUUAGCAUGUCAAUAUUAAGUUCUUUGAUUGAAAUUGAUGCCCGUAGAAAAUUCAUUUAUAUUCAUCUUUCGCAUAUAAAAUUCUUAAGAAUGUUUCCUAAAUAUUUCUCUCUCGCAUACUUAUAAAAACAACUUAGAAAUCACAAUCAGAUGUUAAUGGCAAUUAGCAUUUCAAGUCUAUCUUUAGCACUCAAAUAUGCUAAGUAUUGAUGUUUAGGUCUGAACCCUAAAAAUAACUCUCGGCCAGAUUUAAGAUUCUCAAUUUGUCACGGAAAGUUAAAAGUAAAACAACAAUACCAAUAAUCAAUCAAGAACUGAAUAUUAAUAUAUAAAAUAUCACCUCAAUACAUAAGAGUUUGAGCAGAUUACUCCCAAUCCCAAAGGGUAGAAUUAGCCACGCAUACUUCUAGCAUCUUCCAUUCUCCCAAUUGGGUUGCAAUUCACUCUAUGGUGUUCUCCUCUCAAUCUCGCACCCUAAGGUUUAGCCUCUAGCCCCCUAUUUAACCUAAUUUUUACUUCCUGUUUCACGCUAAUGGGUAAUUAAUAAAACAUAAAAAAGGCCCAAUCUUUCUCUACAUUUUUUUUCCAUUCUAGGACCUUCCAGCUUUCUCUUUUUAGCUCAAAUCAUUCCUCUUUAAUCCAAAUCUCCAAUCUUCCCUAGAAAUAUGCAAUUAAUACCAAAUUUGGGAAUAAUAUCUUUAUAAUAUCUUCGAAUUAUCAAUAUUUUCUAUCCUUUAAAUAUUUAUCUGAAAAAUCAUUUUCAAAUACUUUCCAAAUACUAUAAAAUCUAAACAUUGACGCCUAAUCACAUUUAACCUGGAUAUGUUUGCAUUGAACAUGUUUCGAAAAACUCUUUUAUAUAUAGAAAAUGUUCAUGCUCUAUUUUUUGAAGGUUUCCAAUAAAAUAUUGUUUAUGCAAAAUCUUUCUAAUACAAUCUUAAAUUUAAUUCUAAUUUCAUAGUUGUAUUCUAAAAUAUUUAUGAUCAACAUGGAAAGUAUAUUUCAUUUACAAAACAUUAAACACAAUGUUUUUGAGAUUUUCAUAUUUAUAUGUGUUACGUUCUCAAAUACAAAAAUUUUCAAAAAUAUUUAAUCAUUAAUCUUAUUUGAAAAAAAAUUUCUAUGAUUCAAAAAUAUCAACUAAGAUUUGAAAACAUAAGAUCAGUGCCAUGAAAUAUUCUAAAAAUGGAAAGAUUAAGUAUGGAACAUACUUGUAUUGUCUGAUAUGUGUAAUCUUUAGUAAUCGUCUAAUGACUUAUAAGCAUGUUCUUUGAUAUCAUCUAUCUUGUGAUAUCCAAAGGUAUCAUUUGAUAAGAGCGUCUGAUGAGUCCUCGUGAUUGUUUGAUAAGAUUAUCUUAACUAUUUCGUCUAAUCCAUUCCAAAGAGAUUGUCUGACGCAAUUCCUCAAAUCAUUUGAUGUGUUUCUUGAGGUCGUUUAAUAUAUUCCACUAGGAUCAUCUAACGUGAGCUUCUUAUGUAUAUCAUUUUGUGCAGUACCUAUGAGAUCAUUUAAUGCAUCUUUUCUCAUUCAAACUAUUUGUUUAGACAUCGUUUCUUCUUUAGGUGUUAUCUUUAUAAGCUCUAAGAUAUUUGUCCAACAUUGAGACCAAUAUUAGAUCGUUUGAUGGUCUUCAUAGUGAGCAUGUGCCAUUGGAUCGUCUGAUGUGACUCUUGCGCAAUUUCUAUUAAAAUCAUCUGAUUGAGGCUUUCCACUAUUGACCUGUUUGAUGAGUCUUGAUAGACCAUUUGAUUUAUCUCAUUUAACAAUUUCGUCUAACACUUGCUACAAAACUUGAUCGUCUGAUAAGCUUAAGCAACUUAUAAUCGUCUUAUGGAUAUUCAACUAAAUUUGCACACUUAAUAGCUUCGUUAGACAUCUUAACACACUUUAUAUUGUUUGUUAUCAUCAAAACAUAUGAACUCUAGUAUCAUGAGAUCGUUUGGUCGAUGAUAGACCAUCUAGUUUCUUACUACGUAAUCUCUUAUUUAGGUUCAAAAUGGUUGUUUUAUAUUCUUGGAAACAGUGUGUGAUAAGUAAAUUGAAGUUUACUAAAGUAACUAAGGAAAAUAAAUACAUUUUCAACGUCAAUUUUCUUUGGAUAAUUUAAAUAUUUAUUGAAAAAAUAUAAAAAUAGAGUAAAAUUAACUUCAAAUUUUUUUAAAAAAUAGAAGAAAAUUAAAAAUACUAAAAAAAUAAUAAAAGAGAAACGUGAGAAGAAAAUAUUUUUGUGAUAAAAAAUAUGUAUUAUUUAAUUUGAUAAAAAAAUCUAAAACUUUUAAAAAAUAUAUAUAAUUUUGUUUCCUUUAAAUAAAUUGAAAAGUACUAAAAAAAAGUAUAUGUAUAGUAUAUGAAAUGUUUUAAACGUAAAUGUAAGCUAAAAAAUCAAUGUCAGAUUAACAUUUUAAUAUAUUUAUUUCAGAAUUAGGAUGAACUUACAAUCAAACUUGACUAUAACUCAGAGUAGGGGUGACAAUGCGGGUUGGUCCGCCCCGCAUAGACCCGUCUCGCACUUGGCCUGCAAAAAGCAGGUCGGGUUGUUUUUUCUAACCCGCAUAAGAAAUAUUUAUUAAAAAAAUAAUUUUUUAAAUAAUUUUUUGAAUUUUUUUUAUUUAGAUGGAUUAGAUAAAUGGUCUCAUAAUAUUAUUUUCAUGAAUCAUGCGUAAUAAGAUCUUAUUAAAAAUUGUGGAAUGUAAAAUAUGAGGCUACAUGAAGAAAAUAUGGGAGUGUAGAAAAAAAUAUAUACAUUUUAAAGUUAUGUGAGUUAUGCGGACCAACCCACCCCGCCCGUACUUGGCUCGCACGGACUUCGAGUUAUGAGGGACGGGCCUAAGCGGGCCAGCGGAUUGAAAUUGAAAUAAGUAACCCGCUCCGCAUUUUUUUCAGCGGGUCACGAGCCGGCCUGCACGACCCGCUCCACUUUGUCACCCCUAACUUAGAGAGAUGCCCAAAUUUUAAAAAAAUAAUAAUAAUCAAAUAAUUGAUAUAUAAUUGAAUUAAAUUUAGUUAGCAGGGAAAUAAUCAUGAGCGUUGCUAGGCACAUCUAAAUGAGACAGAAAUUAUUCUAGCACGAGAUUUUGUGAGAGUCAUUGAUGAGGGAAAGGAAGAAAGUUAGAAGAAAAGAAAUUGAAAGGUUUGGAUAAGGAUCUUUAUUAUGCAAUCUUUGUACCACCAAACAUCAUCAUUUUUCUUACAUUCAACGUUCUAUUCAAAAAUUUAUAACCACAAAAUAAACAUCUCAUACACACUCUAAUUUAAGACAUUCAUCUAACACCUAAAUGCAUUAAAGUGUAUCUAUACUGAAUUCAUUUCGGCCAGAAUCCUCUUAUCUUAUCAACACAUUUUGAUCCUCUUAAAGGUUUCUUCAUUAAUACAAAUCUUUAGUCAAUUUUACUUCACUGCUUCUACUUCCACUUUAGAUUCAUUUUAAAAGUUCAUAUUUUAAAGAAAAUAAAUAUAAAUUUAAGUAUACAUAAAUAAAUAUUAACAAAAAUCAAGAUUAAAAAUAAUUUAAAUACAACUUCCUUUUUUAAUUUAAAAAAACAUCUUUUUAAAAGAUAAAACUAAUCCAAACUACUAUUUCAAUAGAACAUUAACUAUUCAUAUCCUUUAAAUAACAUUCUAAAAAUUGGAAUUUAUUUUCGCUUACCCUUAUAAGCAAAGUUAAUAAUAAUAACCAAUUCUUUUAAGAAAUAUUAUUAAUAUUAUUUAAUUCUACUAAUCAUAUUUAAAAAGUAUUCUUGUCAUAUGGUAUCAAUUAUUUGAAACUUGAUAUUAACAAUAAAAAAUCAUUACUAAUUUUUUUUUAUCAGCAAUAAAUAAAUAAAAUUACAAGAGAUACUUAAGGGGUAUCCCAACCCGUAUACAACAGCCACAUAGUUACUCCUCCGAACGGGAAGGAUAACCAAAGUGUGACUUAUCCUGCAAAUAGCUAUAUCCCCAGCCAACUCACAAAAUUGCACCAAAAUGACAGUAACCUGCAGAAAACCAACAGCUUCCCAAACCCCAACACCAUUCCAAAAGAUAUAGCAUAGCAUCUCCUAAUACUCUCCCUGCACCCUGCAAUCCAGCCCUUUACACCAAAGUAGAUUUCCCGUUCUUCCGUCUACAUACCCCGCUCCAACAGUCUCUACUUCCUGCUUUCCUUUUAAUACCAAAGCACCACUAGAAAUGUGCAUCCAAGCUCACUCUUUACUUGCUUAACAGCUAUAGUGACAUUAGAAUAAGUGAAGAAGCACAAGCACAUCAACCUUUUUCCUUCACCAACCGUCUCCUUCGCCUAUGUAUUGACCAACCAGCAACCUCCCAAACCUGCCAGCCGCUACAAAUCAGCCACAAAUUUACGAAACACCAUCUUACCACCUUGCUUUCUCUGCAUAGUAACAUCACACCCCUAAGCCAAACUGAGUCAGACCCCCUGAAGAGCGUGACUCAAUUCCAUCCUCACUGAAUCAGUUGCACCCGUGGUAUCACUUCUAACAGCCACCCCCUCCUUUGGUACUGGUACAUCACACCCAUACCAGUGUGCUCCCUUUUUAACAUAUAUGCUCUCCUUAAUCAAUCUGCUUCAGAUUCCUGCAAUUAACAUUAACAGAGACCAACCCCGAAACAGGUAGCAGCAACCCAGUUCCUUGCCUGGAGAAAACUAUGUAAUCCAUAAGGGACUCAAUCCAUCACUAUAACAGAUUCCUACCUACCAAAGACUUCACAUGAGGCCAACCAAAGAUUAAAACCAUCUUCUUCAUAACCAGCACAGACACAUGUAAGCCAGUAAACUUUAGCAGCUUCUGAUGUAGAUAUUUGGGUUAAGAACCCAAUCUACAAAGGAAUAAGAGAACGAGCGAGCUUUAUGCUUCAUCCACAACCAAGACUUCAGUUGAGCCCUCUGAAAAACCUCCUCAGCAUCUACUACCCCUUGCUGGAAGGUAAUCAUAUUCCUCUGGUCCCAUAAACUUCUAAUGACAUUUGCCCAUACCCCUUUCCAGAUCCUAUUCUGCUUAUUACUAACUUGAAACAAGUGAAAACUUUGGAAAUGCAGCUUCAGAUCAUGUUGCUGUACGAAUGAAAUAUCUACCCACUGAAAGCAUAGAGACCAAACCUUCUGGGCAUAUUUACACUCCAUGAAAAGGUGUUGACAAGUCUCCUCCUGUAACUGGCACAAGGGACACACCAUUGAGUUCACCACUACCCCUCUCCAGCUCAAACUCACUCUUGUAGGAAGUCUUCCCAUCAGUACCCUCCAGGCUGUCACUAUCACAUUUGGAAAAGCCUUUACCCUCCACAAGAGCUUAUACACUUCUCCCUGGUUCCCUCUACCAUGCUUAGCUAGACACUCGUAGGCAGAGCUCACUGAAAACAACCCCGGUACCUCCUUCCCCCAUACUUGGGUGUCCUGGACAUUUUUUCUCAAACUGACCCCUGAUAGAAGCGUAUUAAGGUCCCUCUCCAGAGAAGAUUCCCAUUCAAAUCUACCUCUCCUCCACCUCAAGUCCCACCUCCACUCCGUGCCAACCCAUUCACCCAUCUCACCCACUGUUUUACCUUGGUUUAAAGAUAAAGAAUAUAGGCGUGGGAACAAAGAUUUGAGAUCCACACUUCCGAUCCAUACUUCCUCCCAGAACUUUGCUUUGUCACCACAACCUAUUUCCCAACCUAACUCUUCCUGAAAACCACCCUUUACCUCAUCCCUCCUUACACAUCUUAGAGAGGUCUCUCCACCACCAAGAUUGAGAUUUGACAGGUGUAUGACUGCUUUCUACUCCCAAAUCGUAUUUGGAGUCCAACAACUUCUUCCAUCUUCCAUUCUCUUCCGAAAGACACCGCCAUCUCCAUUUCGCUAGGAGAGCUUUAUUAAACAGGUGUAUAUCCCUACACCCCAACCCUCCCUCCUCUUUUGGUCUGCAUACAUCUUUCCAGCUAACCCAAGCAAUUGGCUUGGUUAGUUUCCCCCAACCCCACAAGAAUCUUGUUUGAAUACUGAUAAUCCUUUUACACACCGAGGCCGGUACUCUAAACAGGGAGAGAUAAAACAAAGGAAUAGCAGUUAGAACAGAAUUAAUUAAGCAGAUCCUCCCUGCCAUGGAUAGAAACCUCCCCUUCCAAACACUGAGUUUUGCUUUCAACUUGGUUAUAACUGGAUCCCAGAAUUGCUUCUUUCUUGGAUUCCCUCCAACCUCCAGUCCUAGAUACUUGAAAGGAACCUCCAUCUGAGUACAGUUCAACGUCUUAGUGAAACACCCUAUAGUACUGCUUUGUACAUUAAUUCCUGCUAACCUUGAUUUAUGGAAGUUGAUCUUCAAUCCUGAGGCUAACUCAAAGCCUCUCAGAAUGGCCUUCAAGGUUAACACAUUCCCAAAGGUAUCCUCACAGAGAAAAAGAGUGUCGUCCGCAAACUGUAGAAUACACAUCUCCACCUCAUGCCUUCCUAUCUUAAGGCCCGUCAGCAUAUUAACCUUCAAAGCUUGUCUUAUUAUCCCAGCAAGUCCUUCAGCAACCACAAUGAACAAAAAAGGUGCUAGGGGGUCACCUUGACGCAACCCUCUAGAAGGCUUAAACUCCUCCGUAGGACUCCCAUUAACUAAAACUGACACAGUAGCUGAUUCCAGGCAACCUCUGAUCCACAAGAUCCACACAGUGUGGAAACCCAAUUUGUGUAGCAUAUCAUAAAGGAAAUCCCAUCGAACCGAGUCGUAGGCCUUCUCAAAGUCCACUUUUAGGCAGAUACCACUUCUCCCCUUUUUCCUGAGAUCCUCCACUACUUCAUUUGCCAUAAGGACGCUAUCCAAGAUUCCUCUACCCUUUAGGAAAGCUAAUUGGCUUUCAUCUAUGAUUGCAGGCAAUACCUUCUUCAAUCUCCCAGCCAACACCUUUGUAAUGAUUUUAUAAAUGACACCAACCAAAGAAAUGGGUCUAUACUGCUCCAGCUUAGAGGGGUCCCUCACCUUCGGGAUAAGCGCAAUAAAUGAAGCAUUACAACCCUUCGGGAUGUUUCCAGUCGCAUGAAACAAAGCCAUUGCUUCCAUUAACUCUUCUUUAACAAAGUCCCAGCUUUUCCGGAUAAAAUUGAAAUUGAACCCAUCUGGACCAGGGCUCUUAGACCCUUCACACUGCCACACUGCAUCUUUAACCUCUUUUUCUGUGAAACCAACCACAAGCCCCUCAUUAUCUCUCAAGGUUAGAGUCUUAAACUCCACCUCAUCCAACCUCACCCCUAGAUCUUUCGUUGCAUUGAACCUAGCUUCAAACAGCUUUUUCGCCUCCAACCGGACAGUACCUGGUUCCUCACUCUGUCCCCCACCUGAACACCCUUCACUUCAUUCCUGAGUCUUUUCCACCUCAGAGAUGAGUGAAAGAACCUAGUACAAGAAUCACCACUCUUGAACCAACUUGCUCUAGCCUUUUGGCACAUAAGAGAUUCAAGUUUUUUGUUAUUUUCUACCAAUCGACUUGUCAACGCCAUUCUGUUAAGCCUUUCACUUUCCUCCAGAUCCCCGGUACAAUCUCUGUUGUCUAGCUCCUCCAGCUCCUGUAGAAUCCUCCUCUUAGCAGUAUGAAGGUUACCGAACACCUCUCUGUUCCACACUUUCAGAUCUGACUUGAGGAGUUUCAUUUUCUCCUUAAAUUUAACUAUUUCGUUCCCCUAGACUGAGAAGGAUUUCCAUUUAUCCUUAACCAUGAUGUUAAACCCCCUCUCCAGAAACCAAGCGUCAAUCGAUCUAAAGGGUUUAGGACCCCAAUCCUUCUCCACAGAUUUUAUCACCAAAGCACAAUGAUCAGAUACUUCCCUUCGAAGAACAUACUUAAUAGAAUUUCUAUUAUAUACUUAAAAUGAUAUCACUAAAUAUAGUGCGAGUAAUAAAAUUUUGUUGAUUUUUUAUUCAAACCAAUGUUUUCUUUCGGAUUACGUGAUAAAAAAAAUGAGAGUGAAAAAUAUAAUACGAAAAAAAUAAAAUAAAAACUCUCCGGAUUAAGUGAAAAAGAAGUGAAAAUAAAAAUAAUAAAAUUAACAUACUUCAGUUAAAAAAUAUAUUUUUUUUAUUAUUAUAAUUUAUAAUCAAUUAUAAAAUAUUUAUUAUUAAUUAUGAUGACACAUAAUUAAUUAUAUAAAAUUAUUUAUUAUUUUAUACGUAAUUGAUUACGUACAUUUUGUUUGAAAACAUUCUCUCCGUUAUCACCUCCAUGCAAAUUUUUCCACAUACCCUGAAACAAACAAUUUUCUUGAAGCAAACACGGCUCUCUUAUCUCUAUUUCAUAAUGUUUCUAGCAAUCCUUUUUGUUCUAGGAGAACCCAAAUGGUUCAUAUAUCAUCUCUACCAUCUAAGAAAAUGAUAAUAAGAAAACCUUGAUUUAUGUAAGGAGGGAUUCCAAGGAAAUUUAAUUAGUAAGUAAAAAAAUUAAAAUUCAAAGCUAAAUGCUAACUUUAAUUAUUAUUUUUUAAAUUAUACUUGAAGGAGUGGGUCCAAAACAUACUAACUACUAAAAGUAAGUAGGGUUUACUAAACAUAACUAUUUAAUAAAAUUUGAAGAAACAUAAUUAAAUAAAAACAUGCUAUAAUAAUUGUUUUUUAUAAAGUCAAAUUUCUUGUGGACUCCUUUUCAACUGACAGUCUUCGGUUUCUCGGUUCUUCAACUUUUUAUUAUAGUUUGUGCGUAGGUAAGGUCUACAAUGCUCAAGUUUGUCUCAGUUCAAUUUGUAAGCACGGGAUUAUAUCUCAUGUAUCUUUUGACUUUAGGGUGUUUUUGUAUUUAUACAGUUGUUUUGAGUCCUUGAGUGUACGGAUAGGUAGGUUAGGUCCAAAAGACUCAAUCAUAUUUUAACCAUGUUUUGUGAAUAAUUUGAUAUAUUAGUGGCUAAUGACGUGUGUAGAUUUUUUAUGAGGUCUCGUAUGAAAAGUGUCGAAUUGUCGAGGUGCCGAUUGUUGGAUAUGAAGCCAGACCAAUUGGGUUGGGCUGACUAGACACAUGUUUAGUGAGUGGGCUUAAUUAUUAUGUCCCUUUAUUAUCUCUAUUUAUCUCUAUUUAAAGAGAUCAUUGUACUUGUAAUUGGUGUGCAACAGGAUAUAAUGUAAACCUAAUAGUUGCCCGGGUGGAUGUAGGUUGCAGUUGGCGACCGAACCACGUUAAAUCUUAUGUCGUUUAUUUUUCUGCAGUUGAUUCGUGAUUAUGUGUUUUGUUUCCGCGUGCGUUUUUCUCAUCACCGAUAUGAUGUCGACGUGAUGUUGACUAUCCGGAUACUCAAUAUUUCGAUAGUGCAUUCAAGUUCAAAUGAAAUGGAGAGUCUAAUUUAUGAGGGGUCAAAAAAAAAAUUUUCUUAAUAUUAACCGUAGCAUGAUUUACACGUAAAGUAUUGGGUGACAAUGUUAUCUAUCUGCCUCUAUGUAUAAUAAUGUUGGUGUUUUAUAUUUUUUGUGGCCAUAUAUUUUAAAAUACUUAUUUUGAUCUUUAUAAUUUUUAAAAUUCAUUUAAUAUAGACCUCAAUACCGUCACAUGUCAAUUUCUCUUCAAGAUUUUUUUUCUGUCUUUCGUUGUCUUCGCCAUAUCUUUCAUACGGGUCUUAACACACAUGGAGGGAACAAGAUAUAAUAGUUGGGGCUAAUAUUCAAUGCAUAUAUAAGUACUAAGAUUUAGGUAAAAUAUUUAUUUUUUAUUGAAUGAUCAAAUAUCAUACAAGAAUACAAACAAUAUAUUUUCAGGAAAGAUAUUACAUUUUUUAAGACAUAUAAAAUUAUAAGUUAUAAUCAUCAACCUCACAUGUCAUUAUUACAACAUUCGUUAAUUUAUAAUAAAAAAUUGCAUAUUUAUUAACUAUAUUUUUACGUAAUUUAUUAAAAUUAGUUGUGUAACCCAUUCCAUUAUCUUUUAGGACAAUGACACUUGACAAUCAUUAAAAAAUAAUUUAAUUUUAUAUAGUCAAUAAAUAGAAGAAGAAAAUGUUGCCUAUUGACAAAGACUGCAGCUUUCAGAGAAAAUUGUGACAAAUGUUCUAUAUCUAUUUUAUUUUUCCAAAACUUAUAUAGUACUGGGUCUUGACUCAUGUAGUUGAGAUAAAAAAAAUUUAUAAAACCAUAUAAUGACCAAAGAAAAAAAUAGUUAAAUAAUAUAGAAGAAAAUAGCGAUACGGAUAGAAAUUAUUUAUAACUAUAUAAUGAGAAUUCCUAUAUUUAGUAUAUACAGUUUUUUUUCAAAAUUGUAUAACUAUUUCUAUAUAUAAGUUACUUAACUUUAAUUUUCAUAUAAUUGUUCCAUUUAAUCUUUAUUUUUUUUUAAUUUCUCUUACAUGCAGAGAAAAUAAUUAAGAUAUAUUUUAAUUUUUUUAUAACAAACUCUGUAACAAUAUAUAAUAGAUUUUAAAAUAGAAAUAAGAUUUUAUUACUAACCGUGACUAAGUUUUUAGAGACUUGAUCAGCAAUUAGGAUUUUGGAUCUAUUUAAGUUCUUCUAAUCAAUUUUUUUUUACCCAUAGAUUUUGGAGUAUCAAAAUUACUAAAUAUCUAUUUUUACAUAGUAGUUUGAGAAUUUAUCUUGGACCAUGAUUUUGGAACUUGCAUUUGGGUCUAACUUAGAUUAGGUCAAAUAAGAGUUUAUGUUAUUAGUAAUGCUUAUGGGUUUUACUGGAAAGUAUUUUGUUAACCAUAUUCAUUACAUGGUUAACCACAUUCUAAAACUAUGUUAAUCAUUGGUUAUUUGUUUUCUCAUAAUGUGUUUGGUUCUAUUGAUCACAUGUGAAGGAGGACUAGCGGACGGGUGGGAAGGAUGUUUAGUUUUAGUGAUUUGGAGGUGUGGGAUGGAUGGAGGGUUUCAUUUUUCAGGUCCUUUAUGAUACGGAGAGGUUGUAGAGGGUGUCAAUGAAUUUACUCGCAUACCCUCCCUACACUCGCUGCAAACUUACCUCCUUUGAGACACUACAAACUUACCUCCUUUGAGACGCUGAGUCAAUGUGACUCAAAUCGAUUUUGCAUGACCCAAUGUGACUCAAAUCAAUUUUGCAUGCAGUGUUUUAAGAAGGAAAAUCGAUUUUAACUAUUUUGUUCUUGAGCAAAAUCGAUUUUCACUCAUAUUGUAAUGAAGUGAGAAUCGAUUUUGCACUUUGUUUCUACAAGUAGUGAGAAUCGAUUCUUUGUUCUAAUAAUCAAUUUUGACCUGGGUCAUGCUGAAAGAGAGAAUCAAUUCAAGUGUUGUUAUAUUCUUUAAAGAAUCAAUUUUGUGUCUUUGUUGGUGGGUCAAAAUUGAUUCUCAUUAGAUAAGACGCAAGCAAGAAUCAAUUCUCUUGUGUGGGGAGGGUGAAAAUUGAUUUUCAAGUUGAUUGAAUACAAGGGACAAUCGAUUCUCAUAUUUUUUUUGUUUAUGCUAGAAUGAUUUUUUUUUAUGAAGGUUGAAAUGCUUAUAAUUGAUUUCGAAUAUUUUAAGAAUUUUAAUAAUUUUAUAUUUUUAUUUAAAUAGGAUAUUAAAUAUUUAGGAUAUGUAUUUAUUUAAAAUUUUAAAUAUUUUAGGAAUUUUAUAUAUUUUAUAUUUUAUUUAAUAAAAAUUUAAAUAUUUAGAAUUUUUAUUUAUUUAAGAUUUUGAAUAUUUUAUGAAUUUUAUAUAUUCUAGAUUUUUAUUCAAAUAGGAAUUUAAAUAUUUAUGUUUUUAUUUAUUUAAGAUUUUGAAUAUUUCAGGAAUUUUAUAUAUUUCAAAUUUUUAUUUAAAUAGGAUAUAAAAUAUUUAAGAUUUGUAUUUAUUUAGAAUUUUUAAUAUUUUUAUUUUAUUUUUAUGUAGCAAUUUCUAAUUUGUAUAUAUAUAACCCUAAUUAUGUUACUGAAAAUAAUUAUUCAUCGAUAUAGAAAAUAAUUUACAACAGUUUAAUUAACUCAAACUUAAAUAAAUAUAUAUCAUAAUUACUAUUCAAAUAUUUUUUAAUGACAAGAGUAAAUUUAUAAACUUACAUUUUAUAUUUAAAAAUAAAUAAAAUUCUCCUCAACAUCACAUCUCUCACAAACUUCAAUAAAUUAUCCUCACAAAUCCACUCUAACAUCCAUAAAUCCAAACAACCUCACCUAUCCAUUCAAAUUCUCACAAAUCCACUUUCUCUCAUCCUCACAAAUUCGUUAUCCAAUCUAUACACGAUCUAAAUUAAUGAUGGAAACCAUUUAGUCACUAUAUUUUUUUAUUAAGAAUUAAAAAGACUAUGAAAUCUCAUUGAGUAAGACUCUACGUAGUAUAAUAAUAGGAUUUUAUUCCUUCUUUUCAGUCUUGCAGAGAUAUUGUAUAUGUAUAAUUUCAUUUGUAAUUUGUUGUAAAGUUUUGUACAAACAUUUGUGGGUUUUCUUUGGGCUUUCAUUGAGCUUUGAAUUGGGUUUAAAAUAUGAGCUAAGAAUCCUAAAGAAUUUGGUCAAACACUAGAGUAGAAGUGAGCAUAGAGUAGAAGUCUCACAUAAUGUGAAUUAUGUCAUUUUUGUAAGGUUAUUGUUUGACAUGUAGGGCUUUUGAAUUUUCUCCAUUUGCAUCACAUUUAUUAGGAUAUGAAAAACAAUAAUGCAUCUAUAAAUAACACCAUACAAUCAGAUCUUGAUUCUCAUUUACUGAAUACUUAUCUUAUUAUUCUUUUAAGGUGUUAAAUAGAAGUAAUAUUCUUCUCAUUAUCACCAAAAAAAACAAAAACAAAAACCGUAAGAUAAUUUAAAAUUUUUCAAGAAACUUACAAGUUUUAAUAAUUUGUGUCUUCCUUUUAGAAAGAAUGGUGCUUUUGGAUGAGGGAGGGGCCAUGGUAACAACACCAAAGACGUCAAAAAUGAUAUAAAGGAUGCUGGAAACCGUAUGAACAACGUCAUGACUAAUCUAUAGGAGACGGGGUGCCAAAAUUAAUGCGGAAAACACUAAAAUCUUCUUUUUCACGUUUUCUUCUCUCAGCAUAUCCCUCUCAGGUUUAUUUUCUAUUUUAUUACCAUUCAUAUGCUAUAAAUUCCACUUCACUGAACCUUAAUAUUUUCAAUAAUAUAAUAAAAUAAAAAUUUAAAGUAUUGAUACACUUUUUCCCCUCAAUAGCAUUCAUUUGAGUAUUAUUUCUCUCAAUAGCACUCAUUCGUGCUAUGGUUAGAAUUCGAUUUUUGAGAAAUCGAAUUCCCACAUUUAUUUUAUUUUUUAAUUGUGGAAAAAUAUGCUCUUAAAAUUUGAUUUUCGAGGAGAAGAAUUCUGAGAGUAUAUUUUUUUCCAAUGAUAAUGAAGAGGAUUGGAAAAUUAUAGUUUUUACUUUUAAUUUUUUGUCUUUGACGUAUAAAUAUUCUUUCAAAAUUAAUUAUGUGAUAACUGUAACACUUCGGAAAAUAACAUCUAACUAUUACAAUACAGGUUCUACAUAUUUCUAUACACACUUGGAGUUUUUCAAAACAUUCCUAAUACAUUAUUAGGAUUUGUAGAAAUACAAAUAUUUACAUAUCCACAGCUCAAAAUAAAACUCUGAAACCUCUAAGGCUCUCAUGCACCUGUAUGGUCAUCUGCUCGUGUACAUAGUACAGUCAUCGCAGUUUAAACACAACAAGAAAAGCAAGGGUAAGCUAGUGAAAAAUAGAAUUUUAUAAUAUACACAACUAAAUUAAAAGAGAAAACCAAAUUACAUGAUCAAUUUCUCAAAUUAUUCAAUUUUCUUCAAAUCUCAACAAUAAACAAUCACAUGGAUCUACACAUCUAGAAUAUUCAACAAACAACGUCUUCCGGAAGACCUGUUUUAAGUAAGUCCUACCAGAGACUAACACCUGAUCCAAAGAUUACCAACGAAUCCAACAGAAAGGAUCAGGGUAAGUUCAAUACAACCCAAGCCGUGCAUCUCAUAUGUCACGGUGUGCAUGAACUCCCCCAUCAGCUUCUCACCACCUGAUAUCUUAGUCUAUGUGACUUAGAUCAGUGAAGCUCGGAGAUCUCUGUUACCACAUAGGCAUCAAUACUUAAUACACAGCAAACAUCAGUCCAUACAUUAUCCCAAAUGUAUGAAUUCAAUUCCAUACCAUUAUGUCAUACAAUAUCAUUCAAAAAGUGAUCCACAAUAUUCAAAAGCGUAAUUAACAUAAAAAAACAACACUUAAAUAUUAAACCAUCAAAAUAUAAUAUUUUUACAAAUUUAAAUAAUAUAUAAAAAAAAUAACCCAAUAUAUAAACACACAACAUCCCUACAAGAGAAAUUGAAUAUUGGGACCACGUCCCUUCCGCAUUCAAAUCUUCUAUCCUAGGGUGCUAUUAAAAAUUAAAUUUAGCUUCCCUUACCUCAAUUGCUUGCUUUCCAAGCAACUUUUAGAAUUUUAUUCCCCACGGUCUGGAUAAGCUUCAAGAUUUACGGGCCUAAUGCAAAUUAUCCAAACAGAACAAAAAUUCAGUAUAUAGUAGAAUAAGUUGAGAGGAUUAAACUUCUCAACUGACCCGACCAAGAUUGAUGACUAAAUCCUAAGUAAAAAUAGAGAACAAAGGAACUUUAGAGCAAAAAUGAACUUACUCUGUUUGAAAAUCUGAUCGGGUAGAAAUGUUCCUUAGCUCCUCAGCUACAGCGUGGUAUGAUCAGAUUCUAAAAUAGAUGAAGAUUGGGAGAGAAAAUUAAGAGAGAGGGAGAUAAGAGAAUUGGAGAGAGAGAAUGGAGAUAAGGAAGAAUAAUGUUUGCAGGGGUUCUGUUUUUUUUAAAAAAAACACGUUACAAUAACCGAAUGUUAUGGUAAAUUAGUUAUUGGUGGGGCGAAUUUUGGGGUGGUUUUGGAUUUUUAUUUCUUAUUUUCAGUGUUGGAGUGAAAUAGAUUCUGGUUUUUCAGUGGAUAAUCGAAAUUUGAUUUCUAAUUUUUGACUUUGAUGUAUGAAUGUUCAUCUGAAAUUAAUUAUGCGAUGAUUGAAUGUUUGUGAUAAUUGAUUACUGAUUGACCGAAAUUUGGGGGUGUUUUCCAUUUUUAUCUCUUAUUUUCGGCGUUGGAGUAAAAGAGAUGUGAGUUUUUUUAAUAGUGAGUGACUUGUAUGAACUUAUUUUUUAUUUAUUUUCAGUAUUGGAGAAGAGCAAAGCUUAUAAAUGUUGUCCAGUAAGUGAUUAUAAUCUGGAUAUGUAUUUUUUAUUUUUAUUUUGGUGUAAAACUUCGUCCAUAUGAACUAUGUGGUGUUCGGAUUAUCUAGAAUUAUAAAAUUAUUAAUUUGUUAUAUUUUUAAAAAUUAAAGUUAUCAUUAUUAUUUGGUUGAAAAUGAAAAGAAAUUAAUAAAUUAAAAAGAAUUGAUAAUUUUAACAUUGAAUGCAUUAUAAAUAAAUGUAUUGGUUGUAAAAAAGAAUUAGAAAUAUUUGUAAUGUUUAAAAAACUUAGAAAUAUAAUUAUUCAAGAAAGAAAUAAGUUUUUACAAAAUAAAUAUAAAAUAAUAAAUUAAAAAGUUUUAGUUUAAAAUUUAAUUUUUCAGGAAAUAAUGUGGGUGAAGAGUGUUUCAUGUUUUGUGUGGUUCAUUGAAUGAGAUUCAAUCUAUAACGUUCCUUUUGACUUGAUAAUCUGCUCAAGAAUCCGUGGAUGAUUCAUGAAAUAAUAAUGUUUAUGUGGUUCAUUUGUGAAUGGUUGAUGGGGGUGAGAUUCAAUUUAGAAUGUUGUUUUGGCUUCACACUUUGCUAAAAAAAUUGUGAGUUGUUAAAAAAAUAUACGGGCAAACAAUGACUCAUGCUUUGUGUGGUUCAUGUGAAUAUUAUGGAAUGAGAUUCAAUGUGAGAAAUUAAUUUUGGCUUAACACUCGAAUAUGUAAAUUAUUAAUGGUCAGUUUUUAUUUAAUUGUGCUUUCGUUUGAUCUAAUGGGUAUGAAUUUGUUGUGAAUGUGAUUAUUUUUUCAAGUAAUGAACUCUACAAAAUUAGAAUUGUUGCAAUAGAACACAUAGUGUUUUAAGUGUACAAUUUCUCUCUACAUUUAUUUUCUCUCGUUAAAAAACAGAAAAAAACAUAUAGAGUUGUGAUUUGAAUGAAGUGGAAAAGAAAAACGCAUUGAUUAAAGUUGUGAAAAUGUCCUCGGAAAUGAGAAUGAAUCAUGAUUAGAUAUGGGCAUCGUGGCGAAGCGCAGCGCGGUGAAGUGAACCACAUGCAUGGCUAGUUAAUGUGGCAGGCAGUGGUGGCAGAACUUUGCUUUAUUCACUGCGCAACCUUAAAGCUGAAACAGUUACGGCGUCGUCUCGCUACACCUGUACUUCCUCCAGGGAAACUUUGUUUUUAGUGCAUGUUGAGACCACCGUGCUCCUGCACCGUACACCUGUCGUUCUUUCAUAGAAUGUGGAGGGCGGUGCUACCCUACAUCUGUCUAUCUGUACACCACCGCAUGCUUCACCUAUCAUCUCUUUACCAAUCUCUCCCUCCUUCCUUGGAUUCCAUUUUAAAUAUAAAUAUAUGAUAAAUAAAUACUCAAUAUAAUCUUAAAAGGUAAACACAAACACGAUUUCCUCAAUAUUUAUCAUUUUAACCAAGUAAAAAAAAAUAUUUAACAUAUACCAACUAUGAAAUAUGUUAAUAUUAUCACUUUUAUCUUAAACUAAUUGCUGUUUAAGAAUAACACUAAGUAUGUGGCUUCUUGAAACAAUCUUAUUAAAAUACAUUUCGUAAUUUCAUUCAAAUAGCAAAUACAUUAUUUUUAUCUUUUGUAAAUAAAGACAUUUGUUAGUUCAGAAAAAUCAGAUUUAAGAUUAUUUAUAUUUUUUAUAAAAAAAUAAAGAAAUAUGUAUCUUAAUAAGUUGACUAAUUUAAUAAGUUGACUAAUUUAUGAUUUAUUUAUAGAAAAUCAUUUUAUUGUUACAAUGGUUUCCAUCUAUUUUGUUAUUAAAUUUUUUUAUGAAUAUAUAUAGCUUAUCUAUGUAUCGUUUUUGUUAAGAUAUGAGUUUUUGUUUAGUUUUAUAAUUUUUUUUGUAUAUUUUUUAAUAAUAUUUAUUUUAUGUGAUGAUAAAAGAUUAUUGUUAUUUGAGUGUCGAUUUAACUGAGAUGUCAUGUUAUAUAGUGAUGCAUAUCAUNNNNNNNNNNNNNNNNNNNNNNNNNNNNNNNNNNNNNNNNNNNNNNNNNNNNNNNNNNNNNNNNNNNNNNNNNNNNNNNNNNNNNNNNNNNNNNNNNNNNNNNNNNNNNNNNNNNNNNNNNNNNNNNNNNNNNNNNNNNNNNNNNNNNNNNNNNNNNNNNNNNNNNNNNNNNNNNNNNNNNNNNNNNNNNNNNNNNNNNNNNNNNNNNNNNNNNNNNNNNNNNNNNNNNNNNNNNNNNNNNNNNNNNNNNNNNNNNNNNNNNNNNNNNNNNNNNNNNNNNNNNNNNNNNNNNNNNNNNNNNNNNNNNNNNNNNNNNNNNNNNNNNNNNNNNNNNNNNNNNNNNNNNNNNNNNNNNNNNNNNNNNNNNNNNNNNNNNNNNNNNNNNNNNNNNNNNNNNNNNNNNNNNNNNNNNNNNNNNNNNNNNNNNNNNNNNNNNNNNNNNNNNNNNNNNNNNNNNNNNNNNNNNNNNNNNNNNNNNNNNNNNNNNNNNNNNNNNNNNNNNNNNNNNNNNNNNNNNNNNNNNNNNNNNNNNNNNNNNNNNNNNNNNNNNNNNNNNNNNNNNNNNNNNNNNNNNNNNNNNNNNNNNNNNNNNNNNNNNNNNNNNNNNNNNNNNNNNNNNNNNNNNNNNNNNNNNNNNNNNNNNNNNNNNNNNNNNNNNNNNNNNNNNNNNNNNNNNNNNNNNNNNNNNNNNNNNNNNNNNNNNNNNNNNNNNNNNNNNNNNNNNNNNNNNNNNNNNNNNNNNNNNNNNNNNNNNNNNNNNNNNNNNNNNNNNNNNNNNNNNNNNNNNNNNNNNNNNNNNNNNNNNNNNNNNNNNNNNNNNNNNNNNNNNNNNNNNNNNNNNNNNNNNNNNNNNNNNNNNNNNNNNNNNNNNNNNNNNNNNNNNNNNNNNNNNNNNNNNNNNNNNNNNNNNNNNNNNNNNNNNNNNNNNNNNNNNNNNNNNNNNNNNNNNNNNNNNNNNNNNNNNNNNNNNNNNNNNNNNNNNNNNNNNNNNNNNNNNNNNNNNNNNNNNNNNNNNNNNNNNNNNNNNNNNNNNNNNNNNNNNNNNNNNNNNNNNNNNNNNNNNNNNNNNNNNNNNNNNNNNNNNNNNNNNNNNNNNNNNNNNNNNNNNNNNNNNNNNNNNNNNNNNNNNNNNNNNNNNNNNNNNNNNNNNNNNNNNNNNNNNNNNNNNNNNNNNNNNNNNNNNNNNNNNNNNNNNNNNNNNNNNNNNNNNNNNNNNNNNNNNNNNNNNNNNNNNNNNNNNNNNNNNNNNNNNNNNNNNNNNNNNNNNNNNNNNNNNNNNNNNNNNNNNNNNNNNNNNNNNNNNNNNNNNNNNNNNNNNNNNNNNNNNNNNNNNNNNNNNNNNNNNNNNNNNNNNNNNNNNNNNNNNNNNNNNNNNNNNNNNNNNNNNNNNNNNNNNNNNNNNNNNNNNNNNNNNNNNNNNNNNNNNNNNNNNNNNNNNNNNNNNNNNNNNNNNNNNNNNNNNNNNNNNNNNNNNNNNNNNNNNNNNNNNNNNNNNNNNNNNNNNNNNNNNNNNNNNNNNNNNNNNNNNNNNNNNNNNNNNNNNNNNNNNNNNNNNNNNNNNNNNNNNNNNNNNNNNNNNNNNNNNNNNNNNNNNNNNNNNNNNNNNNNNNNNNNNNNNNNNNNNNNNNNNNNNNNNNNNNNNNNNNNNNNNNNNNNNNNNNNNNNNNNNNNNNNNNNNNNNNNNNNNNNNNNNNNNNNNNNNNNNNNNNNNNNNNNNNNNNNNNNNNNNNNNNNNNNNNNNNNNNNNNNNNNNNNNNNNNNNNNNNNNNNNNNNNNNNNNNNNNNNNNNNNNNNNNNNNNNACUUAAUUAGUAUAUAUAUUAUUGACUAUAUAUAUAUAUAUAUAUAUAUAUAUAUAUAUAUUUCCCAUUUUAUCUUAUUAAAUCACUAUAAAUUGAAUAUCAAUAACAUAGUCUAUACAAAUUUGAUAAUUUCAUUACUAGAUGGUAAUUAUACAUUUAUGAAUUUCUCAUCAGUCAUUUUUUUUUAUCUAAAAUGUAAUUUGCAACCUUUAGUUUUUAUGUUUAGUAAAGGAUGAUUUAAAAAAAGGUUAAAAUUAAGCCAUAUUUAAUAGAUAAUUUAUAAUGUUAUUUAUUUAAUAAUUUAUUUUACAAAAUUUAUUAUUUUUUAAAUUUCUUUCUUUCACAUUUUCUUUAAGCUUUUGAAAAAAAAAUCUAUUUGUUAUAGUAAUGUUUGUAUGUAUAGAGUUUUGUUUUUGCUUGAGAUUUGAGUUGAAUAGAUUUAUCUGUUAGUCUAAGUCUUUAUUGAUCUCUUUAGUUUUUGAAUUAGACUUGAUGGGAGCAAGUUAGAUUGUUAUUUAAUUAUGAAUGUUCUAGGUUUUACUAGUUAGUUUUGUAUAUUUUGAGUACUUAGAGAAAUUAAAUUUGCAAUUGUCUUAAACGAUGAGAAGUAGAAAAGUGAAGUUUGAAUUUUUGAUUAAAUUAGGUGCAAAUGAUGCAUUUAUAUGUUGAUAUAUGAUGUUCGAAUAUGAAUGUCGAAUUGAUGAAUUAAGUAUGUAUACAAUUGUUUGUAUAGUAAAAUUUGUUGAAUACUAAAUAAAUAUCUUUAAUAGAUACAAGUAAUUAGUGAGAAAAUAUUAAUUGAUGAAUUGUUUUUGUUGGAACAUGGUAUUGUAGUAUUACUCCUAUUGCAACAGCGUUUCAUUCUGUUUUUGUCUGUGUUGCUCCUCUCCUUUCCUUCAAAAGGAGACUCACACCAUAUCAACACAACACACCCUGCACCAACUCAACUUUGAACCUUCAAGCACAUUGUUUUCUUCACUUGUCCCACACCUCCAAAAUCACUCUGAUAUACUCAAUCUUUCGCUUUUGUUCACAAGAGCAGCAUGCAUGUUCUUUUCCCUGUGAAGAGACUCGCCUUCUCUGAUCCUCUUUUGUCACACAGAAGAAGACUUUUUCGUUGGUUCAGUUUAGGUGUUGUAGCUUCUCUUCUUUUGUUGUCUCUCUUCAUUCUUGGUAACUCCCUCAGGGUUUCCAAAGUUGCAGUCUUUGUUCCACAACUAAGCACUGUUGCUGCAAAUUCUUCGCUUGCUUCUCGCCCCUUCUUACCUUUCAAUAAUACUAGCCACUCUUCUUCCUCUGGGAGCAGCACUUCUAACACUUCAAAGUCUGACGAGUACAAGAGUUCUGUGAAGGUUAUUAAGGAAGGAAGUGUGGUAGUUGUGGAUGGAAAUGGAGCGAAUCAUGUGUUGGAGGAAACAAAGAGUGUCAGGGGUUUGCAGAAUUAUAGUUUUUCUUCUUAUUUGUUGCCAGAGAGUAACAAAGGAAAGCAUGAAGGGGAUUUGGUUAGGGAAAACAGUUUAAGGAAUGUAACUGUCACUCAUAAUGAGAAAAUGCAGGUUGGUUUACAUGAGGAAUGUGACAUUUUUGAUGGAAAGUGGGUAAAAGAUGGUUCAAAGCCAUAUUAUCCUUUAGGGUCUUGUCCACAUAUUGAUAGAGAUUUUAACUGUCACCAGAAUGGGAGGCCUGAUGGAGAGUAUGUUAAAUGGAGGUGGCAGCCAUAUGGGUGCAAAAUUCCAAGGUAGAGAGAUAUAUGAUAACUGUUUGUAUGUAACGACUAUGAAGUGUUCAUGUUAAUCUAGAACAGAAAAGUAGUUUGUACUGGAAUAAGGAAAAAGAGAUUAAUAUUCAAUGUUUACUGUAACGAUAACGUGAAAGUAAGAUUUGUGAUAAACGCGAUGUAUGCAUAUAAAUUUAGGACCAAGUCUUUUGCAUUAUCAUUAAUUUUAUGCAAGAAGGGACAUUUUGUGAAUUGAAUGUGGUUGGAUUCUCUUUUAUUCAGAGCAAAACUAUGCAUUUAGCCUCAGAAAAAAGUAUACAAUUAUUGUUCUCGUAUUUGAUCAAUGAUUGAUGUCAUCAUGUCACUCCUCAGUUUGAAUGCAACUGAUUUUCUGGAGAGGUUGAGAGGACAGAGGCUGGUUUUUGUGGGGGAUUCACUGAACAGGAACAUGUGGGAGUCACUUGUAUGCAUUCUCCGUGAAAGUAUCAGGAACAAGAAACGGGUAUUUGAAAUUUCGGGGAGAAGGGAAUUUAAGAAGAAAGGUGUUUAUUCUUUUAGAUUUGAGGCGAGUUUCCUUCACUUGUUUGAUAUUUGUCUAGUGUGAAUCUUGUAGCGCUAUGGUGUCUUACUAGAAUUUUUUGCGGUAUUUUAGGAUUAUAAUUGUUCGGUGGACUUAGUUGUUUCGCCAUUUAUCGUUCAAGAGUCAACUUUCAAGUCCAAAAAUGGAUCAUUUGAGACAUUAAGAUUGGAUUUGAUGGACUGGACUACGACCAGGUAUGAAGAUGCUAAUAUCAUAGUCUUCAACACAGGACAUUGGUGGACCCAUAAUAAAACAUCAAAAGGGUGAGUUCAAUUCCCAUACACCACAUUUGUAAUGUGAGAUUGCUUUAUCAAUCAAAUAUUGUUAUGCAUUUCUUGCGUCAUGUGCUCCUAAUUAGCACUUUUUUUUUCAUUUUGCUGUCAUCUGGUACUGCUACAGAGAAGAUUAUUAUCAGGAAGGAAACCAUGUACACGCAAGACUCAAGGUUCUGGAUGCAUACACCAGAGCCUUGACCACUUGGGCUAAAUGGGUUGACCGAAAAAUCAAUGCCAAUCAAACUCAGGUUUUCUUCCGGGGAUACUCAGUCACCCACUUCUGGUAUUGUUCUCUUUUACAUAGCUUCCACAAUUCAAUUGUUUGUAUAAGGACUUGCUACUGUUUCCUUACUUUUACUUGGAUUCAAGAAUUAAUCGAAGCCUGUUUCUAACUGGAAAUAUGUGCUACUUAGGAAAUACUUGUUUACCAAGGUCCUGUCUCAUCUCAUAUCAUCUAUAUUGAUUAUCAGAUUUUUCACUUGGCCUCCACAAUUAUGUCUAUGUAAUAAUGAACAUGCAAUAGUUCAUUGUCGGAAAAAUUGGAUUAUGCAGACAUUUGGUAAUUGAUAGAUCUGUUUGAUCAGGAGAUAAACAGAAUGUUGUUGGUAGUUGAAAACUUGUUAUCCUUAGACUCUCUAGUUGCUUUUUCUUUCCUAUUAGGUAAAACCUCUUUAGGUAAUGGCUACUUUAUUUUUAUCAUUGCUGUUGGCUUAAUUACCUAAGCAAGUUCCCCCUCACCCCUACUUCCUCCUUGCAGCAUGGCGUGCACCUGCCUUUAGUAUUGAUACUCUAGUAAACUAAUACAAAAUACAAUUAAGCAAUUUUGCACCAUUCUCACUGGGUUGAAUUUUGUUCUUUGUUAAGCAAAUUUAAAUUUACCUGCUAUAUGGUGUAAAAUUGUGGUUAUGAUUUAAACUAACCACUAACCCUUAUCAUUUUAAAUAACUACUGGCAAUAAGACUAGCAUUUCAUUUUUAUUUUAACCAGAAUCAUAUCUUGCUACAAAGACUGUUCCAAGGUCAUGGUGACUUCAAUGGUAUAUUUUAGCAAUUUAGAGAUUCAUAUGCAUGUGUUAUACCUUGAGUAAGUUCCAAUACUCUGCAGGGGUGGCCAAUGGAAUUCAGGAGGACAGUGCCAUAAAGAAACUGAGCCAAUAUUUAAUGAAACUUACUUACAAAAGUAUCCUUUAAAAAUGAGGGCUCUAGAAAGUGUGAUCCAACAAAUGAAAACCCCAGUAGUAUAUAUGAAUAUAAGUAGGCUUACAGAUUACAGAAAAGAUGGGCAUCCUUCAGUAUACAGAAAGGGGUAUAAGAAAUCAAUGGAUCAGAACUCUACUGCACUAUUCGAAGACUGCAGCCAUUGGUGCUUGCCUGGGGUACCGGAUACUUGGAAUGAAUUGCUAUAUGUUUCUCUCUUAAAAUAUGGAACGGGAACUUGGAAAAGCUGAACAAAUUUCCUCAUUCAUUCCACAAACCAGUUUCUUAUUCUUUUUGCAUAGUUAUAUUCAACAUGUAGUUUUUUGUUGCAUGCCUUUAGUGAUAGUUUGAUUACAAUAAACAAGAUAGCCAGGGAAGGAAAUAGGAUAGUAGAUUGGCUUGCCAAUUCUUCCCAUGCUUCUGAGGUUCAACUCACUUUCUUUUCGGUGUUCGGUAAGUAAAUGGAUUUUGUAUUUAUGUAUUUAGAAUUUACAGGCACGUAUCAUAAUACUUGGAAUGAUACGAAAUCUUUAUGUUUUAUUUAGUUUUAUGUGAAUCUCUCUGAUACACCAGUUAUAGAAAAUAAAGAAUCAAAUUUAUGUCAAAGGGUGAUUUUUUUUAUGAUGGUUUAGGAUUUGAGAUUCUAUUUGAGACACAAUGACAAUUCUAUUUAAAAAACAAAAAGGCUCUCCCAUUGGCUAAUAGGUAAUGGGGUUUGAGAUUCUAUUUAUGGGACAAAAUGGCAUGUCUUUGAAACAAUGUAUUCUUGUAACAUUUAAUUAUAUUUCAUGAACUAUUAACGAAGCAUAUUCAUUUCCUUUUAGACAUGACAGCGAGAGCUUAACAGCGAGAAUUUUCUUAUCAUCUUGAAUGUGAGUUUGUUUAGAUAACUCUUUUUAAUAGACAAUUAGAGAACAAAAAUACAGGAGAAAACAAUAAUUAUUUGUAUACUGUGAUUUGUCUUCCAUUGAACUCAGUUUUCUUGGUUAACUCUAGUCCUUUAGUUAGCAUCCAUAAUUAUCAAGUUCACUUAUUACCUAUACAUUUCAAUUGAAACAUUGUUAUUGAGAUUACAUCGGAUACAUAUCUUAAUCAUGUUCCAUAAUUAAAAUCAAUUGUAGCAAAAUUUAACCGUCACUUGUUGAACUAGUUCCAAGACUGAUAAACGCUGUCUUGAAUUAUUAUAUGACGGGUGUCCGGUUUUUGUUGUAACCAUGUUCAAUGAGAUUCUUCCACUUUCUAAGACAAAAAGGUGGUAGCCAAGUGUAUGUUGAAGUGAAAAACAAACACUCAUAUAAUAGUGGUUGACUUCCUAUUAAUUUUAGUAAAUAAAAUUUCCACUUGUGAAUGCUGUUUUUUACAGGGAGAGGAUGGGCUAUUUACCCGGAAUAAUCAUAAUCACAGCAAAAUCAGAAACUAGAGUGCAAAAGUGGCUUGGUCAUUUUGUCUUUUAACACUUUUCUAGGAGGGUUUUGCAGCUUUUCUAACCAAUCAACUUGUGCAGAACAUAACCCUCCACUUUAAGGAGCUAAAACACUACUAAAAUGAUUUUAUUGCAUAUAAGGCCACACAACACAGCAAGCAUACACACUAAGACACAUGGGAAAAGGAAGAGACACACAGCAAGGUUAGGGAAAUGGAGAGGAAUAUGAGGUUAUAAUUACCUACCUACUCAUCUGCAGAACCUGAAGAGAGCCGGACUGUAGUCAUCUGCAAAUUGAGUGUUAUGGACAACACAAGUUGGUAGCUGGCUUCUCAAAGAAAGGAGAUCUUUGUUUAUUACAUUCUACUGGUAGAAGAAGAAGAAGAAGAAGAAGUAGAAGAAGAACUACAAUAGAGUCAAUACAUAGCCAUAAGGACCCCUUAAUGAGAGAAAGUCCAUUGCCUUUCUGUGACUUGCCGGUUUGCCUGGCUGUAGCCAAAGCUUCUCUGACCUAUGGAGAAUGCUUCUCUGCUUCAUGCCACUCAGUGAAUCAUGUUACUCCAUAUAUACCCUUUGUGGUUAAUGAUUAGAGAAGCCAAUGGCUAAGCAUAAGCAAACUGUAAGAGGAGGAGGAGUGUGAGGGGUGAGGACCCUCUCACACAAUCCUCCAUUCUUCUUUAAGAGCCAUGGAUUGAUUUUUGCCAACAAAGCUCCAUGCCUAUACCAGAUAGAUUGGUUUGAAUGAUUUCUCCAAAGGGCUCUAUAGAAGGCUAGUGGGGAAGUUAGUUUCUGACCAUUGCUUUAAAUAGCUGAUGAUUGAAAAACUCACAAGUGGUAUGAUCUAUUCAUUAUCCAAAUACAUUCUUACUUUUGCUUUCAAACCAUUAAAUUUAAAAGUUGCAAUACAGUAGAGUGUCCAUUAAAAAUAAAUAAUAGGUUAAAGUAUUUAUUUGGUCAUUGGACUAUUUUAACCUUAACCCAAUUACCUAACCUUUUUUUGCAUUUCGAUGUAAUCAGGAUAGAGCUAAUCUAGCUAACUCUUAUUUUUGAGUAAAGGUAUCACUUAGUUACACUUCUUUCUUUUCUGUUGGUGUUGAACACAGUUUAGUGACCACUAAACUUUUAUUUCUUCACUUUGGAAAAAAAAAGGUUUUAUUACUAUGUAGUUAGAUAUUCACAUACCUAAUGUAUACGUAUAAGUAUCGAACUAUAUAAUCUUUUACCUUUUUCUUUUUCCAUAAUCUUCAAAUUUUCUUUUCAUACUACACAUUCUGCCAGGAAAUUUAAGAUAAACUAAAGAAGCGUGUACAACUUCCAGAAAUGAGAGAUGAAGUAGAAAGAUUGGUGUGAGUGAAGGAUAUGAGUGAGAAUGUAAUAAUAAACUUCAAACAUGGGUACCUACCCUCUACUUUUUCAUUGGUGCUUGACUUUUGAUUAUUGGACGUUAUUGCAUCAGUGAAUCCACUAGCUGAUUCUGUAUCCCCACUUUGCUUUCAAUGAUACAUACAUAUCAUCUUAAUCAUCCACUAAUUUCAUUCUUUCUCACCAGCCUUGCCAGCAAAGCUAUGCUAUGUUUGUUUUCUUGUCUUUUGUACUUUGCAACGUGUCAAAAUAGAAUGCUUCUAAUGUGAGAUCUCAAAAUCUACAAUUCUUAACCAUCAGAGUGCACCUAAACUCUUUUAACUUUGUUAUGUUAAUCCCUAUCUUACGUUCUUUUUUGUAUCUUCUGAGGCCUUUUUCAACUCUCUUUCUCAAAACAAUGAUUCCACUGUCACCAAACACUCAAGUCAUCUUUUUUUUUUUUGUAUUUUAGUGAAUAAAAGUUGUAGUCAAUAGCUCGAACUUACGUUGAAGACUUCUCUCUCUUUCCCUCUCUCUUCCUUAACGAAUAUUAGAAGGGUCCUUCUGAACUUGGUUUGACUUACUUUUCUCGACUUGUGUUUGAAUAGAGCGUUUUAUCAUGUUGAAAACUCACACUUAUCUACAAGCUACUAGCACAUGUAAGGCAAAAUAUGCAUAUUGAUUACUUUUUCACCACGCAUCUAAGCAUUUAACAACUUAUUUCGUUCAUUCAUGCACCAAAACACUUGAUGGUCAUAGUUUUCUUAUUGAUCAAUACGAAAAAUAUUAUCUUAUUUUUACUUUAAUCUACAUAUAUUUAGAAUUACUUAUAAAAUAAAGAACCAAAAUAGAAAAAAGCUUUACCAAACAAAAGGGACAAUUUACUGAAAUGGUAAGUGAUCUCCUUAUCAGAUAUGCACACAAUAAUAGCAGCUAGACUAUCCACUGAAGCUUCUUUUUACCUUGCCUCUUCUUUAAGCAAACAAACAAAAUGUACAUCAAUUUUUUUGUACACCCUUUUAGACUCUAACUUUGCAAUUUACUUAUUACUGUUGUAACCACACAUAAUGUGUGCAGUAGAUGGCAACAGCUACAGUGAAGGAGAUCACAGCUUGUUUUCUCAAUUUUUCUUUGUGGCCUUCAUUGCAGAAACAAAAACAAAAAACAAAAACAAAAACUGCCAUUGAUUUCACUUGGUCAGAACAAUAAGAUUGCUUUGUCUUGAGUUAAUUAUUUAUAUAAACUCUAUUUCCUUUUUAAUAAUGGAAAGCACUAUGGUCCACCAUAUUGCAAAUGGACACACGACACUUAAUGGAAAAUCUGAGUCGGUUCCGAUUUGCAAUCGAGUUUUGGGUCCCCUCAUAAUCCAAAAUUUCUAUGUUUUUACUGUGUGUUCAGUUUAAUUUACGUUCAAAUUUGGACGAUUGCUUAGGUUGUCAUCAUCUUAUGUUGUUAUUUCCAAACGUGACAGGUAGAAGGCCUAGUACAACUGACUUUUCCACAAUGGUUUCAAUUUGGAAUCAAAACCAACGGGUCCCUUUGUGGUUCAAAUUAUUUUUCAGUUCAAGAUCAUGCUCAAUUUUCUAUCUAAUUGCAUAAUAUUAGAGGUUUGG
Molecule: long non-coding RNA, 58426 nt
Filed under: Phaseolus vulgaris (common bean)
Lineage: Eukaryota; Viridiplantae; Streptophyta; Magnoliopsida; Fabales; Fabaceae
Description: long non-coding RNA (PVUL_LNC003840)
Source: RNAcentral